CUCUCUAAUUGGGGUGCCAUCUACAGAUAAGAUGAUCCUCUGGGGAUUCCAUAGAAUGGUAUAUGUGUGGAAAUCUGCAGUUGGGUCAAACCACAGAUAGAAUUGCUGCUCUCUGUUGCCUUUGCCUUGGCUGAACACAUUAGUGUGGAGGAUGUAAGGAUCGCCACUCAAAUUCCCCAAGAACUCAAAAUCAAUCUCAUCCCAAGUGGACCCAUUUGAUUUCAACUGCAUAUUCAAUUUCAAAAUCCACAAUGUUAGGACUAGAAUCACAUAAUUGAAAUAAUUAGCAGAAACAGUACCAAAAGAAAUGAAAAACAUACAUAAUAGGCGGUGACAGUGCCAGCAGAGUUGCCAGGGACAAGCUUGAGCUGCAUAUCAAUCUUUGCAAAGAGAUACUCAUUCCUGGACUGAAAUCCAGAGCCAGAAGCUUGAUCAAGGGAGAGAGUGAGAAGUUGUCCAUUGUUGAGAAUCUUAGCUCGGCCGUCUCCCCAUGUAAUAUCAAAAUCAUUAUAGAAGUUGCUGGCGGAAGAAACCAUCAAAGAGGAGACAAGAACAGACAUAAACAGAGAAAGCACCAUGUUUGAAGAGGCUAUAUUUUGCUGUAAGAAAUCGUUUUAGCUUUGAAAGAGGAGAGAUGUGUUUGUAGAGAAGAAUGGGUUGGGUAGCAUUUAUAGUGGGGAAGGGACGAGUGAAAAGAAGAGGAAGGACGCAGGAAAGGGCAUGGGGGAACUGGGAAGGUCCCAUGAGCAUAGCUGUGCACAGGUGUUUUGAUGAUGCUUAUAAUAUUAUGUGAUAGCUGUAAAAUCGCACUACCAAACAUGUCCAAUAGUAUAUCAUAUGAUAGAUACGCGUCUCAGGCUUUUGGUUGGAUCUCAUAAUGCAUUCUUGGCAACCGACAAGAAGAUGAUACACGAAUGGAAAACUAUAAAAUUAAUGACUAAUUUUAUUUAAUUUUUAUUUGCUAAUAAAAAUUGUAUAAUUCAAUAUAUUUUAGAAAUUUUAAAUUAUAAAAUCCUAAUAAUGUGAGAUAAAAAUAUAUUAAUAAUUUAAUAUUAUGCUAAGAAAGAAGUAUUUUUAUUUUAAUGGGCUAAUAAAAAUUAAAUUAAUACUAAAUUUCAACUUCUAAAACUAUAAUAAAGAAUAGGAAUCUUAACAUAAUUUUAAACUCAAUUUUAAAACAAAAAUUAUUCUUAUAUUAUUUAUAUAGGAAUAAUAUAAUAGAUUAAAAUAAAAUUAUGAUUUUAAUGGAAUAAAAUAAAAUGAUAUAAAAUAUUAAUUUGAAUGAUUGAAUUUGGAAUUUCUAAUGAAUUUUUAAAAUUAUUUUUUGGUAAAUUUAAAAUAAUAAUUUUAAUUCUAAUGAAAUAUAAAAAUUCAUGCAAUCAAUUUUAAUUAAGAGUGAAUAAUAUUUAUAAAUUUAUUACUAUAAUAGAUAAUUAAAUUUAAUUGAUUGAAAAUUAUUAAUAAUAAUAAUAUAUAAAAAUUAAUAAAAAUAUAAAAAAUCAUGAAAUAUACGCACGUUAUAAAAAAUAGUAAUAAUAAAAAUAGAACAAGGCUUUCUCCUCAUGAGGCACAGUUUUUUCUAUUGUCGAGAACGCAGCUUCAAUUAUUCUUUCUCAAGGGUGGUUCUUUUUCUCUUGUCGUUCAAGUAAAUUGUAUAGGUUUUUUCUUUUUUUUUUUUGUUAUUUUGUUAUGCGGGUGGAGCUUCUUCUCGACGGAUGUUUUAAAUCCUUUUAGUGGUAAGGGUGAUUUAAGGUUGAUAAUAUAAGAUCUAAAAUAAUAAGAUUUACAGUAGUUAUGUGAGUUUGGGUAGAGAGAAGGGUAUUUUUCUCCUUUUAUUUCUUUUUAUUUGUCCACUAGUAACGCCUAACGGUCUUUCUGCUACAGUACUAUCUGUUUAUGUCAUACAGGUCUGUACGUACGGAAGCGUCAGACUUUCUCUUCACGCCAAACGACCAUUUAAUUCCUCUGGUGCGAGUGUGGGCAGGACUGUGAAGUAACUGGACCUGCUGACUUUCUUCAUGUCACAUCACCGGUAUGAGUGACUCGGCCUGCUCCGUGUACUUAGAUCAAGGCUGAAAGUAUUGGACCGGUUUGCGUGAAAGAGUUUCGGAAGCUUUGGACUUGAUUCGUUUUUUUGGAUCUAACCUUCUCCUACGUUGCUGCAGCCCGGUAGACAUCAAAGGUGAGAAUUUUAUUUUAAUAAACAUGUAAUCUCUAAUAGUCGUAUACUGGGCAUGUCAUUUAUUAGGAGUGUGUAUGAUUCUUGAAAGUUUUAAAUUAAAUUAAAUUAAAAAAUCAUAUUAAAUCAUAUAAAAAUAAAAAAAUAAUUGAUAUAAUAAGAAAUCAUAAUGAUCUAAUCUAGUUAUUUGAUUUUUAUUAAGAUUCUUUGUCAAGCAUCGCACAGAAAUUGUAUUAAAUUUAGGGUGAUUUACGAUUUAGUCCUUGGGUAUUGCCAUUAUUAACGAGUCAGUCCCUGUAUUUUUAGAAACCUAUUAAAACGUCCUUAUCUUUUCUCUCCGUCAAGGAAAUAGUCCUUCUGUCUAUUUUUGCCGUUAAAAAUGUAGUAAAAGACCAAAUUGCCCUCCUUCUUUUCCUCUUUCUCCUCCUUCUCCUUCUUCUUCAUCGAUUCUUCCUCCUCCUUCUUCGAUUCUUCACUUCUACUUCUGCUUCUGCUUUUUCUUCACUUCUGCUUCUUCUCCUUCUUCUUCUNNNNNNNNNNNNNNNNNNNNNNNNNNNNNNNNNNNNNNNNNNNNNNNNNNNNNNNNNNNNNNNNNNNNNNNNNNNNNNNNNNNNNNNNNNNNNNNNNNNNNNNNNNNNNNNNNNNNNNNNNNNNNNNNNNNNNNNNNNNNNNNNNNNNNNNNNAUUCAUAUAAUUUAAGUAUAACUAUCCUUCCUAAUUAUUAAAUAGUUAUUAAUAAUAUUAUAAAAUAAUUAUAUAUUCUAAUAAAUUAUUAAAAAUUUUUAAUAAUAUAUUUUAAAUAAUUUAAUUUGUUAAUUAUAGCUUAUACUGCCUAAAUUUUAUAUAUGUGUUUAUGUAUAUAUACUUAUUAUUUCGGCCAUAAAUAUAUUAAUUAUUUUAUAAAUUUUAAUUGUACGAGUGAAUUAUAUAUAUUAGUAAUAUAAUAUAUCUUUAUAUAUUAAUUAUAUAAUAUAUUUUAAUUAAAAUUAUUUAAUUAAUCAUUUAAUAUAAAAUACUAUAAUAUUCCUAUGGACAAUUGUACAUAAUAUAUAUUAAUAUUAAUAAUAUUAUUGUUUAAAUAUUAAUAUUAAUAUUAUUAUUAUUAUUUUGAUGUUAAUUAAUUAUCUACUAUUUUAAUAAAAAUAUUAUAAUUUUAUCUGAAAAUGUGAAGAUUUAAACUGAAAUUAAAAUUAAAAUUAAAAUUAAAACUAAAAUUAACUAGAAAUUACUUAAAAUUGUAUUGAAACCGUACUAAAAUUUAGUACCAAAUAUAGUUCUUAAUAAUUAAAAAAUCGAAAAUUUAGUUCCAUUUUUAUUCUUAGCAAAAUGAAGAGCUCUACCUUGAUUGAUCGUGACUUCCAAAGCCAAUAGCACCUAAGAGCUCUACCCUCUCUUUCCUAGCCAAUCUGAAGCAUUUGAUUAUGGUUUGACUUGUUUCUGGUGCCCAGCCUUCGUCUGUGCUUCUUCUAUUCUCCAUGGCCUAGAUCGUUAUGAGUAGAAGACACACAUUUCCUUCCUAGCUUGGAUUUCUCCAGGGUCAUUUUUCUAAGACAAGAAAGCUCUAUUUAUGGACUUCACUAUAUGAAAUUAUCUAUCUCCAUAUAUGAAAUUAUCUUUUCACAGAAAUUUUUUUUUUUUAACAGUUGUAAGAAAUAAACUGUUUUUUUUUUUUAAUAAACGAAUAUUCCUCCGUUCUAUAAUUUCUACCUAUCUUUUUUAUCUCAAAAUUAUUAUUUACUUUCUUUUAUUAAAUUAUAAUAACAUAUAAAUUAACAAUGAUAAUCCUAUUUAAUUUUAUUUCAUUCUUAUAAAAUUUUUCAAAAUAUUUUUUAGUAUUCUCUACAUCUCAUAAUUUUUGUCCACUUUUCUUUUUUUAUUUGUUCUAAAAUUAUUAUUCACUUUUAUUUUUUAAAAUAUAAUUACAUAUAAACUUACUAUUAUAACCCAUUUAAUUUUAUUAAUUUUUUAAUUAUACUCAUUUUAAUGUGUGUGAAAAAGUAAAAUAAAUAAAAAUUAUGAAAUGGAAGACGUAUUAUUCUAAAUGUGCAAAGUAAAAAUAUUAAAUAUUUGUGAUUAAUAUAUCUAAGUUUUUAUAAAAUUAUAGAGGAAUAGCUGUACGUGUAAUAUUUCAUUUUAUUUAAUAUUAUCAAUAUAAAAUAUAAUUUUUCAUAUAUUAAAAAUAUGUACACAAUAAUAAUAAUAAUAAUGAGUAUAAAUCUUUAAUGAAAUAUUUUAAUAUAUAAUAUUUAUAUGUUAUUUAUGUAGUGAAAAAUUUAUUUAUAAUAAAUAUUUAUUUAAUAUUAUCUUGUGAUAAAUAGAAAAUAAAUAUACUUUUAAUAUAAAAUUUAAAUUAAAAGAGUAUACGUUUAUUAAUAUAAAACUUUAGGAACUGUAUUAUUAUUUGCUGUUAACUUUUUCAUAUUCAAUUUCAUACUCUUUAUUAUAAUUAUAACAAAUUGAAAUUGAAAAAGAUUUAAUUUUAUUAUUUAAAAUUUAAAAUUUUAGAUAUAAAUAUGAAUUAAUAUAAAUGUUUAAAUCUUUUUUAUCUAAUAGAUAUUUUGAAAAAUAAUUUUAUGUAGCAUAACAUACGUAGAUUAUAAAUUUUUUGGUCAAAAUUAAUUAAAUCAAAUAGUUAAAAUUGAAGUAAAUGUAAAAAAAUUGAUUUUAUUAUUCAAAAUUUUAAGAUUAAAAUAUAAAUGUUAAAAUUGGUAAAUGUUUAAAUAAAUCUAUUAAUUAUAGCAUUAUUUUACACUUAUACUUUAACAUUAUGUUUGAGUGGAAGUGUUUGAAUGGAAGUUUUUGGAAAUAAUGUCUUUGUUUUAAAGUAAUAUUUAUAAUUGGGUUGAAGAUUUUUUAAGAAAUGUAAAGCUUUUUGAGCUUUAAAACUAUUAAAAAUCUCACUUUUUCAAUCCGUCAAAUUCAAAUAUUAACAAAGUUUUGAUACUUUAUAUUCUACCACUUUAUUUUCUUUCUAUAGAAGCUCCUUUCUCUCCCUCUAAACACAUUGUAAUAUAUAUAUAUAUAUAUAUAUAUAUAUUUUUUUUUUUUUUGAUGACCGCUGGGUUUCACCACCCCAAUAUAAGGCCUAGCCCAUGAUAGCGGCCUUGAUCCAAAGGUCAUGGAGCCCCUUCAACGAGCUGGCAUGGACUACCCAGCCUUGAGGUCGGGCCUCCCGUGGACCUCAGCCCUUUCAACACCAAGCUCGGCCCUGGAACGUGACAGGAGAAAGCACAACAGGCCCAGUCACCUUGCAGCCCUGUCUACACGAGCGCCGGAGGGAAUUAAAUGGCCGCCUAGCGUGGAGAGGGCGUCUGACGGUUCCGUACGUACGGGCCUGUAUGACAGAGAUAGAUGACACUGUAGCUGAGGGGUCGUUAGGCAUGGCUAACAGACAAAAAGGAAAGGGAUAUAGGGGAGAGGGCACCUUCCCCUCACCCAAGUUGACCCAACCAUUGUAAACCUAUUUUUCUCUGGAUCUCAGAUCAUCAUUUGGCGCUGUCUGUGGGAAAUGAAGGAGAUCUUUUCAUCGCCGGAGUUCCACUCUUACAAAACCCAUUGAGAUCCACAAAUGGCCAACCAUAGCGAAAACAACAUUGCUAAUACCCCCAAUGACCUGAGCUCCGCCCAGAGAGGCAACAGUUCUCUUUUUCCAGUCCCAUAACUCCCAACGACCAACCACCAGUCCCUUUUAAUCCCUCGCCGAACUCGGCAGGGAAUGUGCCCGGAGCUACCCUAUCCAACCAGGACCUACAAGCUAUGGCCAUUCAUUUACAAAACACCGCUCACUGGCUGGGACAAAUGAUGCAACAGAGGGGCCUCAGUACCCCAGUGAACGUGUUGCCUGUGGUAGAAGAGCCCCGAACCAACGAACCCCAGCCUACUUUCAACCAUCCUCAAACAAAUAGCAAAGAAAUCGGAGAAAGAGGCAAAAGAGCCAGUGAAGAAGAAGAACCGGAGGCUAGAGCCCAUGGAAGGAGGGUAAGGGAGCUGAUAGAAAAUGAUGAAGCAGAGAGUUACUCGGCCAGAACAACCAGGAGGACAGAAAGUGAAGAGUGGGAGGAGGAAUAUCGUUUGGAGAAGAGGCCCAGACAAGAGGAAGAAAGUGUGGAUGAGAAACUGCAGAGAAUGAGAGACAGCUCCUAGCUGAAUUGGGGGCGAAGGACCCCAAGCAGGCCCUCUUACCCGCGUCCUCGCCUUUCUCGAAAAGGGUACAGCAGGAAACUAUCCCCAAGAAAUUCAUGAUGCCACCUAUGGCGGCGUAUGACGGAGCUGGAAACCCAAGGGAGCACGUCCUCAACUACAAAACCUUCAUGGAGCUGCAGACCUUAUCGGAUGCCUUGAUGUGCAAGGUAUUCCCCACUACGCUCACGGGGCCAGACGGGCGUGGUUCAACAGCCUAGAAGUUGGGAGUAUCAGGAGCUUUGGAGAUCUAGCCAACGUCUUCAUUAGCCGGUUCAUAGCCGAAGUGCCAGCUGACAGGAAAACCAGCUAUUUGGAGACAGUCAAGCAGAGAAGAAAUGAAUCGUUAAGGGAGUAUGUAGCCCGUUUCAAUAUGGAGGCCCUGCAGAUCCCCGAGCUGGACGAAAGUAGAGCAGUAGAAGCCAUGCAGAAAGGGACGACCUCCCUAGACUUCUUUAGCUCGUUAAGUAGAAAGCCCCCCACCUCGCUGGCGGAACUGAUAAAAAGGGCGGAAAAGUACAUAAGGCAGGAUGAUGCCUUAAUGACGAGCAGGUUCGCCAAGGAAGCGGCAGACAGGGGGAAAGCCCUAGAGGAAAGGAGGCCGGAAAGGCACGAAAAAAGGCAAAACAAAAGGCCUGAAGCUUAUAGACAACCUUGGGACCGAAGGGACCAGAGACCACUCCCCCCUCGGGUUCCAGACCAAAGAUCAUUUUCCCUGCGGGUUCCUGUAACGACCCAGAAACCUGACCACUACCGGCGCUAGGAUCCAGAUCGGCAUAAGGCCGCCGGGACCCGUAGCAAGCCUACUACGCAUCCUGUACAGCUGGUAUAAUCCCAAACAUGAUCAAUCAUUUCCAUAAAACAUUUAAAACUUUACCUUUACCCAGUUUGACCUGUGCAUGCACUAUGACUGAACUCAUAGAACCCCUAGGGUCAGCAUACCCUAUGUCAAACUCGGUCCAACACAUAUAUCAACAUAAUAUAAAACUCAUGUACAAAGGGAUUAUCCAACUCGGGCCAAGCACAAUACUAUAACUCUGAACAUAUUACAUAAAAUCAUUUUACAAUACAACUCUUUUACAUCAUUACAUAACUUUUCAUUACAUCAUGUCCACUACUAUUCUCUUACAUAGCAUGACCAUAGCCAUAUCCUGAUAACUUCCUGAACUACCUUUGACCCUGCAAACCUGGGGUUAGGGGAGAGGGGUGAGCUAUAAAGCCCAGUGAGUAGAAACCAUAAAGAAAACAGUUCAUUUUAACGUAUGCUAUCAUGGAAUGCAUCACAUCACAGACAUAUCACAUCAAGGAUGAAUUUGUCACCAAUAGCCCUCUACAUAUCGUUACAUAUCCAACUAUACCAGGGGCGAUGAGGCCACACCUAGUAUUCGCUUACAUAACUCAUAUCAUAACAUGUCCAACUACACCAGGGGCGAUUAGGCCUCACCUAGUGUUCGCUUACAUAUAACAUAGUGCCAGGGGCGACCUGGUCUUUCUAUCUCAUAUCAUACCAUGUCAUAUCUUAUCAUAUCAUAUUGUACUGAGGGCUAGAGGAUCAUUCAAGAUUCAUCCACAUCAACAAUAUAUUAUGCAAUGCGUCAUAUUCGUGAAUUCGAGUGCAAUACAACCUACUACAUAUCAUGGCAUUUUAUGAUGCAUGGAUCAUGCUAAAACAUUCAUUAACUUUAAAACAGAGUUCUGUUCCACUCACCUUUGACUAGCUCUGGGCCGACUCUGAAACGGCUGACACUGCUAAAUACCUCGGUUCCUUGGGUCCGAUCCUACACAGGUGGACUCCAGUGAGGUGCCAAACAUACUCUAAACAACUCAUAAACAACUACCCAAAAACCCCCUAAAACAUCAUAGAAACAUGUAUAGAAAACACCCAAGAAAAGGCUGGACAGGGCACUUUCGGCGGCAGGUUCGGCGGCCGAAGGUCCCUUCCAGAGCCGAAAGUCAUGCAGGUUCGGGGGCACUUUCGGCGGCCGAACCCUCUCUCCAGAGACGAAAGUCAGGCACUUUCGGCGGCCGAAAGUCUGCUCCAGCUCUGAAACACAACUUUCGGGGGCAAGGUUUGGCGGCCAAUCCAUGCAUCCAUAGGCAGGUUCGGCGGCCGAAACCACCUUCGGCGGCCGAACCUGAGUUCUUCCAGAACUCAGCCCUUGUGCAUACAAGCCUCCCAACCCCCCAAAACAAGCAUCCAACCUCUUAAAACAUGCAUAAACUUCUCAAAACCAAGCAUUAACCCUUAACCAUGCAUAAAGGAGCUUAACAACUAGAUUAAACUCCAAAAACAACAUCCAAAGCAUACAUAGCAGCUUUUGGAGCACAGUCUCAGCAGACAGCUUCUGGUAGUGUGGCACAGCCAGCAGCUCCAGCCGCGACUCAGGCUAGUGGCAGAGGUAGAGGAAGAGGGGCAGCCUCUUCUUCAGCGGGUUUCAGGGGUGAGGGUUCGUUAGCUCCAGCGCGGAUCUUCACCAUGACUCAACAGGAGGCAAACACAUCCAACACCGUGGUGUCAGGUAAUCUCAUCAUUGGUUGUUCUGAUGUGUAUGCAUUAAUGGACCCUGGUGCAUCUCAUUCUUUCAUUGCUCUGAGGGCCGUCGAGAGGUUGGGAUUGAUGGUCUCUGGGUUAGAGUGUCCCCUAUGGGUCAGUGGACCCAAGUGUGACCCGUCAGUGGCAGAGUCAGUCUGCCAGUAUUGUCCAGUUUUUGUGGAGGGAAGAUGCCUGUCCGCCGACCUUGUGGUUCUAGACUUGACAGAUUUUGACGUCAUUCUAGGGAUGGAUUGGCUAUCUACCCAUGGUGCUACCUUGGACUGCAGAGACAAGGUAGUCAAGUUCAAAUGUCAGGAUGGGUCAAAGGUGGUCUUCAGAGGAGACCGGGGGAGUACACCUAGAGGUUUGAUAUCAGCCCUACAGGCUCGUAGGCUGCUCAGGAGGGGUUGUCAGGGUUUUCUAGCUCAUGUGAGAGAGCUGGAUAGUCAUGUCAGAGAGCCCGCCUCAAUGCCCGUGGUCAGUGAGUUUUUAGAUGUGUUCCCAGACGAGCUGCCAGGUUUACCACCUGCUAGGGAGAUAGAGUUCGAAAUUGAAUUGAUGCCUGGAACUAGACCGAUCUCUAUCCCUCCCUACAGGAUGGCACCAGCAGAAUUGAAAGAGUUAAAAGAUCAGUUGCAAGAGCUGGUAGAUAGGGGUUUCAUCCGACCGAGUACCUCACCUUGGGGAGCUCCAGUGCUAUUUGUAAAAAAGAAGGAUGGAUCUCUCAGACUUUGUAUCGACUACAGGCAGUUGAACAAGGUCACUACCAAGAAUAAGUACCCGUUGCCAAGGAUCGACGAUCUAUUUGACCAGUUAGCCGGAGUAGGUUGUUUCUCCAAAAUAGAUCUGAGAUCGGGGUACCAUCAGCUAAGGAUAAGGGAAGAGGAUGUGCCGAAGACAGCCUUCAGGACCAGAUAUGGGCAUUAUGAGUUCCUUGUUAUGCCGUUUGGGUUAACCAACGCCCCUGCAGCAUUCAUGGAUCUCAUGAACAGACUGUUUAGCCAAUACCCGGAUCACUUUGUUAUUGUCUUCAUAGAUGAUAUCUUAGUGUAUUCCAGGAAUGCAGAGGAGCUUGCCCAUCAUCUGAGGUUAGUUCUGCAGACCUUGAGGGAACAUGGUUAGUUCCCCAAGAAGGUAGAAGCUGUGGCUAACUGGCCUAGACCCACUUCAGUGACAGAAAUCAGGAGUUUCUUGGGUUUAGCAGGUUACUACAGGAGGUUCGUUCAGGACUUCUCAAAGAUUGCAGCUCCUCUGACCAGAUUGACCAAGAAGAAUCAGAGGUUUGUGUGGACCGACCAAUGUGAAGAGAGUUUUGAAGAGCUUAAGAAGAGGUUGACUUCUGCACCAGUGUUGGCUCUGCCAUCUAGUAAUGAAGACUUCUCAGUCUAUUGUGAUGCGUCCCGGGUGGGACUGGGUUGUGUGCUAAUGCAAAAUGAAAGGGUGAUUGCUUAUGCUUUUAGGCAGCUGAAGAAGCACGAGUUGAAUUACCCUACACAUGACCUUGAGAUGGCAGCAGUAAUCUUUGCACUCAAGAUGUGGAGGCACUACCUUUAUGGGGUUAAAUGUGAGAUCUUUACAGAUCAUAAGAGCCUGCAGUACAUCCUGAGUCAAAGAGAUCUGAACUUGAGACAGAGAAGGUGGGUAGAGCUGCUGAGUGAUUAUGAUUGCAAGAUUCAGUACCAUCCGGGUAAGGCGAAUGUUGUGGCAGACGCCCUAAGCCGGAAGUCACCAGGCAGUCUAUCCCACAUCGCGGCAGAGAGGAGGCCAGUAGUGAGGGAGUUCUUCGAGCUCAUGAAUGAAGGUGUACAGUUGGAGUUGUCUGGUACAGGUGCUUUAGUAGCCCAGAUGAGAGUGGCACCCGUGUUUUUGGAGCAGGUGGCUCAGAAACAGCAUGAGGACCCAGAGUUAGUGAAGAUUGCCAGGACUGUUCAGUCAGGCAAGGAUAGUGAGUUCAGAUUCAACAGCAAGGGGAUCCUCCGCUAUAGGAGCUGAUUGUGUGUACCAGAUGACAUAGGGCUAAAAGGAGACAUUAUGAGAGAGGCUCAUAAUGCAAGAUACAGCAUUCCCCCCGGAGCCACCAAGAUGUAUCAAGAUCUGAAGAAGGUUUAUUGGUGGCCAGCUAUGAAGAGAGAAGUGGCACAGUUUGUGUCAGCCUGCGAAGUAUGUCAGAGGGUGAAGCUGGAACAUCAGAAGCCGGCUGGAAUGCUUAACCCACUACCUAUUCCAGAGUGGGAAUGGGAGAACAUAGCUAUGGACUUCGUGGUGGGGUUACUGGCAGCGUCCAACAGAUUGGACUCCAUAUGGGUGAUUGUGGACAGACUCACCAAAUCUGCUCACUUCAUCCCUGUCAGGAGUGGCUAUUCUGUGAACAAGUUGGCGCAGGUGUAUGUUGAUGAGAUCGUCAGACUGCAUGGGGUUCCUGUUUCAAUAGUGUCCGACAGAGGGCCCCAGUUCACCUCCAGGUUUUAGCGGAGUCUGCAGAAUGCCAUGGGUACCAGGUUGGAUUUUAGCACUGCUUUCCAUCCACAGACGAACGGACAAUCAGAAAGGACCAUCCAGACGAUAGAAGAUAUGCUUAGGAUGUGUGUGCUGGAUUUUGGCGGUUCUUGGAGGCAGCAUCUACCCUUGGUGGAGUUUUCCUACAAUAACAGCCAUCAUGCUAGCAUCGGGAUGGCUCCAUAUGAAGCUUUGUAUGGGAGGAAGUGCAGAUCACCUGUUUGCUGGGAAGAGGUUGGAGAAAAGGUCUUAGCAGGGCCUGAGCUAGUAGAGAUCACCAGCAGGGUGGUACCCAUAAUCAGAGAAAGGAUCAAGACUGCUGCAAGCAGACAGAAGAGUUAUGUAGAUAUCCGCAGAAGGCAAGUAGAGUUUCAGGAGGGGGAUUUGGUAUUGCUCAAGGUAUCUCCAAUGAAAGGGGUGAUUCGAUUCGGAAAGAAAGGUAAGCUGGCCCCACAGUACAUCGGACCCUUUGAAGUCUUGCAAAAGAUUGGGAAUGUAUCGUACAAGCUGGACUUGCCUGCUUCAAUGGAGAGAAUCCAUCCGGUUUUCUAUGUUUCUAUGUUGAGGAAAUUUGUGUCAGAUCCGGGCAAGGUUCUUAGUGAGCGUGAUGUGGAGAUCCAAGAGGAUCUCACCUAUGUUGAGCAGCCAGUGCGGAUCCUAGACACCCAGAUCAGAAAGCUAAGGAACAAGAAAAUCCUGAUGGUGAAAGUCCUUUGGAAUCACCACAAUAUUGAGGAGUGUACCUGGGAGACAUGGGAGUCCAUGCUCCAGCAAUAUCCCCAUCUUUUAUAAAGUAAGUUUAUGUGCUUUAUAUGUAUUUUAUGCUGAUUGCUAUGCAUGUGUUGUUUGGUGAACAUUUGGGGACGAAUGUUCUUAAGGGGGGGAGAAUGUAAUACCCGGCUAGACUCCGGUAUCGGAAUUUCUACCGUUCAGUGGAAUCUUGGAUGUCGGAAGCCUCUAGUAGGGUAGAAACAUGUUUUCAUAAAAUGUUUCAAUGUAUUUCAUGGUUUUAAGUAAAAAGGAAAUGAGUUUUUGCAUGAAAAUAAUCUUGGAGGAAGACCCAGGUUCGGCCGCCGAACAUGCUUGUGCUUCGGGAGUGCUUUAGGCCCCCGAAAGCAUAAGUGGGGGAAAUCCAGGUUCGGCCGCCGAACCUUAUGUUCGGCCGCCGAACAUGGCAUGCAUGCGGAGGCACGUUCGGCUCCCGAAUAUGGCCUGACCAGCCACCUAUAAAGGGGUCCCUUAGCCGAAAACGGGCGAGUUUUUCUCCCCACUUUCGGCCAAGGUGAGCUCUCCGCCGUCCCUCACCCAUCUUGAGUUUCUUCCUUCAAAUCUUUCACGAUUUUCACUAGUUUUCACUUUGUUUUGAAGAUUUUCAAGCAUAAAGCGAGUUUUGGAGCUUUGAGAUUCAAGAAACUCAAAUCUCUCCCAUCUCUGAGCUAGGGUCGUUUUCCUCUCGAUCUUCAAGAGGUAAGGGCCGAUCUUGAGCUCACUUUAUGUUUUAAACAAGUUAUAAGUUGUUUCAUGAAGUAGAAAUGCAUGUUUAGGUUGUUUUGAGUUUAUGGGUUUAAUGUGUGUUUUUGAGCAAUGUGGGUAUGUUUGAUGUGUUGUAGUUGGGGUUUAGGCUAGUUUGAGACCCCUAUGAGCUUGUAUGCUUGUUUGUGUAUGUUUGGGAGUGUUGUAGAAUAGGCUUAUGCAUGUUUGAAAGGUUUGGGAGGCGUUUGUGUAUGUUGGAGCUGAGUUUCUGCCACUUUAGAGAAACUCAGGUUCGGCCGCCGAAGGAACUUUCGGCCGCCGAACCCGCUUGUGGAAGCAGCCUUCGGCUGCCGAAGCCUGCCCCCGAAAGAGGACUUUCGUCUCUGGAGGGCAGUUUCAGUCGCCGAAAGUGCCGCCGAAUAUGCAUGAGUUUCGUCUCUGUCUGGGAGUUUCGGCCGCCGAAGGUGCCGCCGAACCUGCCUGACUUUCGGCUCUUGAGGGACUUUCGGCCGCCGAACCUGCCGCCGAAAGUGCCCUGUUCAGCCUUCCUUUGCAUGUAUUCCAUGAAUGUUUUGAGGUGUUUUUAGGCGGUUUUUUGGGAGUAUUCCAGAGUCAUGUUCAUGUAUGUUUGGUUCCUCACUUGAGUCCACCUAUGUAGGUUCGGACCCGAGGACCCGAGGACCCCAGCAGUGAGUUCAGCUGUUUCCGUGUCUGUCAGAGCUAGCCAGAGGUGAGUGGAAUAACUCUUAUGCUUUAAAAUAAAUAAACCAGUUUUAGCAUGAUUCACGCAUCAUGAAUGCCAUGAGAUAUAAUAGGGUGCUUGCAUUAGAACUCACGAAUAUGUUGCAUUGCAUAAUAUGUUGAUGAUGCGGAUGAAUGUUGAAUGAUCCUUUAGUCCUCAUAUGUCACGAUAUGAUGAUGAUACGGUACGGAAGACUAGUGAGGCCCAUUCUACGCCCCUGGCACCAUGUAAGAGAAAGACUAGUGAGGCCCAUUCUACGCCCCUGACACAGUUGGAAUGUUAUGUUAUGCUAUGUUAUGUAAGAGAAAGACCAGUGAGGCCCAUUCUACGCCCCUGGCACAGUUGGACCAUGUAGAGGACUAUUGGUGACAACUUCAUCCUUGAUGUGAUAUGAUUGUGAUGUGAUGCAUUCCAUAUUACCAUAUGUUUUAAAUGUUUGAUUAUUCUGCUCACUGGGCUUUAUAGCUCACCCCUCUCCCUUAACCCCCAGGUUUGCAGGUACAGGGUAGACCAGGAGGUCAGCAAGAGUAAUGAAGUCUUGGUUAUGUAAUAGAUAGUGUGGACAUGAAAAAUGUUGAGAUGUUAUGUAUAAGUACAGUAUAGAAAUGAAAUGUAAUGUAAAAAUGUUCUUGGAUGUUAGAGGUGUGCUUGACCAUAGAGUAUUGUUAUCCCUUUUAAUACAUGAUCUCAGAUGUUUUAUGAUGUAUAUGUAAACCAACUCAAUGCAUGUUAUGUCACCCAUUGGGGCUUUGAUGAGAUCCCAAAGAGGGGUCAAUGUUUAUAGUUAUAUUUAUGUUCAGUGCAUGCACAGGUUGAGUUUGGUGUAUGAGAGAAUGUAUGAAAGAAAAGUUUUAAUUUUUAUGUGUAUUCUUGAUCAUGUAUGGGAUUAAACAGGUUUUCAGGUUUUAUGUCAGGCUUGCUACGGGUUCCGGCGGCCUUAAGCCGACCUGGAUCCUAGCGCCGGUAGCGGUCCGAUUUUCGGGUCGUUACAAAAAUUAUCAAAUUAUGUUAUUUACCGUUAUUAUUUUCGCCCUCUUUAAAAGGAAAAAGAAAAAGAAAACAGGUGCGAAAGUUCAAGACCUCAGUGAGGUAGGUGACCGGGCUCCCCAAGCGCCCCCGGCACCAUAAAGUCGGUUGAGAUGAUGAAGCGACAGUAAGGCCAUAGAGCCUGAAUCUAGUUCAAGGCCUUAGUGAGGUAGGUGACCGGGUUCCCCGAGCGCCCCCAGCACCAUAAAAUCGGCUGAGAUGAUGAAGCGACAGUAAGGCCAUAGAGUUUGAAUCUAGUUCAAGACCUCAGUGAGGUAGGUGACCGGGCUCUCCAAGCGCCCCCGGCACCAUAAAACCGGCUGAGAUGAUGAAGCGACAGUAAGGCCAUAGAGCCUGAAUCUAGUUCAAGGCCUGAGUGAGGUAGGUGACCGGGCUCCCUAAGCGCCCUCGGCACCAUAAAACCGGCUGAGAUGAUGAAGCGACAGUAAGGCCAUAGAGCCUGAAUCUAGUUCAAGGCCUCAGUGAGGUAGGUGACCGGGCUCCCCAAGCGCACCCGGCACCAUAAAACCGGCUGAGAUGAUGAAGCGACAGUAAGGCCAUAUAGCCUGAAUCUAGUUUAAGGCCUGAGUGAGGUAGGUGACCGGGCUCCCCAAGCGCACCCGGCACCAUGAAACCGGCUGAGAUGAUGAAGCGACAGUAAGGCCAUAGAGCCUAAAUCUAGUUCAAGACCUCAAUAAGGUAGGUGACUGGGCUCCCCAAGUGCCCCCGGCACCAUAAAACCGGAUGAGAUGAUGAAGCGACAAUAAGGCCUUAGAGCCUGAAUCUCAUUCAAGACCUCAGAGAGGUAGGUGACCGGGCUCCCCAAGCGCCCCCGGCACCAUAAAACCGGCUGAGAUGAUAAAGCGACAGUAAGGCCAAAAGUGCCCCGAAUAUGACUCAGGACAAUGAGGGCUGAAUCCCAAACUAAGAUAUACAAAUCUGAACUCGGUAAAACCAAGUGAAAAGAGAGUCAAACUCAGGAAGCCCAACAAAUUUCAAGUUUAUCUCCUCAAACCAAGGGGCAAAUCAAAGGCAUGAACAGACAAUGCCACAAACUCAAUUCCACUCAGGAAGACGGGUUCACCAUUCUAAGAAGGUACAUUACCUAACUUGCUUUGGUUAUACAAAAACUAUGCGUCUGAGCUUGCGUCCUUGGUAAACCGACGAGAUAAAAACAUGAAUGCUUUCCCAAGAUUAGAAAAUUCAUAAGUUAGAAGUUCAAUCAAUUGCUAGAGUUUCAGCCCAGAUUAACUCAAAGACGAGAAAAUUGGUAACCGGGCUGGUCAGUUUAAUAUGGUUGAUUUCCUUGGAAAAUUACAGAAUAAAUAUUUGGCUUAAAAGUUUUUUAUCCUUAACAGAUUGACAGAUUAAGCAAAUUAGGCCUUUAGCAGUUUAGACUUUUAAUAAGAUGAGCAGUUCGGUAGAAUCAGAAAAAGUAAAUGCAAGCAGAAAUAAUUCAAAUAUAAACACAAACAAAAGCCUCAUCUCAUUAAACAAAAUGAAGUUAAAUUACAAGCUAUAUUUAAUCAUCUAUAACUAUAGGGGGAAAAAUUAUCCGUAAAGGACUUACAUCAUUAACUACAUCAUUUACAUCUACACUACCAUCCUUGGGGACCCCGGUGUUUUCUUGUUCGGAUCCCCCAGCACCCACGAAGGGCACUAUCUCCUUCCCCCGAGGUCCAGCGUCUUCCCUUUGGGACUUGGCACCCUCCUCUUGAGGCCUGGCAUCGCUCUCUUCGGGCUUGGUGGUUUCCUGCUCCUCCCUCUCCUCAAGCUCGGUAUCCUCUUCAAGAGACCCAGUGGAAGUGUGAGAAGCUCCUUUGGGCAGAGGAUUAUCAUCCUCCUCAUAACACACCUCCUCACCGUUAGAGUCCACUUCAGGGGCUCGGAGCCGUGCUAAUGGGGUGGAGAGGUCGUCCUUGUCCUCCUUCAAGCCCUUAUUGAACCCGGAGGCAAACAGGCAGAAUCCCCUAUGCCAUAUCUCGUUUUUCAGUUCGUCAAAGGCUUUGAACUCCGUAAGUCGCGCCUCACAGGCCUCCUCUAUCUUGGCCUUCAACUCAGGAGAGUCCUUAUAACUUUGAAGACGAGCUUCACAAGCCUGCUCAAUCUCCUUUCUCAGCUCUGCUGACUCCUUAUACUCCCUUAGGCGUUCCUCACACUCCAGUUGGACUCUGUCUUCAGCAUGCUUGGCAUCCUCGAGCAGGGCUGAACACCUCUUUUUUAGAGCUUCAACUUCCUGGCAGAGAUAUUGAUUUUGAAGCUUGGAUGUCUCUACUGCCAGAGUCAGAUCUUUAACAUUACUCGCACGCUUGCUCAGCUCCUACUCAAGAACGACUAUCCGAGCCAGGGCUUCGUCCCUCUAGGCCAUCACAGUGUCGUACCGAGUCUAAGCCCUUUCGAAAUCUGCCUUCAGCAAUUCAUACUGAUGCCAGACCUCCUUCCUUUGAUCCAAUGCCUCGUCCCUCUCCCGCCGGAUCUCCUCCAAGGAGGACAGCUGCUUUAAGGCUUCAUCGCGACGCACCUUUGCCGCAGCUGCCCUCUCAUUAGCCCUUUUGAGGGCUACUUGGGUGUAGGACAGCUCCGCCUGCAGUGAUUUUGAGUGCUCCUAGGCCGCUGCAAGAUUGCCCCGGGCAUCACUGGUAGCAACCAGGUUCUCCUCAAGGCGCGCCUCCUCAAUCCGACGAUCCACAGAGAACCAAAGAGAGUGGUCACGGGCGUCCACCUCCAUGAAGAGGCUCGUCACCUAGCACAAAGAGAAAACUGUUAGCACAAGGAAACAAAGAGAACCAAAAUAAAAACAAAAAUCAAAAAGGACAAAUCACCAUAAGGAGCAUUUCCCUGAUGGUGUCUCCGAGCUCCCCUCGAGUACGAGAUCGAAACGCUACUUGCUCUCUAGUAGAACUGGCCAGAAGACCAGUGAGAGCAAGCAAACGGGGGUCUGAAGCCUCCGUGACCCCACCGAACAUUUUCUCCCGUAAUAUCUCCGCAACCACACUCGUUGGAGAUUGGUGGGUGAUGUCCUCUACAUUCAGAAUCUCGUUGUUAGGAGCAGAGAGCAGGGGCACCACAGGAGUCUUUUCUUUUUCGAGGGGAGACAAGGCUGGAGCUGGUCUCUUGGAAGCCCGAGACUUCUUAGGAGCAGGAGCCGGGGCAAGAGCUUUAGAAGAAGGAGGACGCUUGCCCGCGGCCCCCUUAGCAGCACCCACAGGGAUGGCUGAGGUCUUUUCUUGAGGAGGAACGCCAUCAAUUAGCUCAGAUUCAGUCCCCCCUACAGGAAUGCCCUCAUCAAUGGGGGAAGCUUCAGUAGAGGCUUCUUGGACAUUCUCGCCUGCUGGGCCGACCUCCUUCGCGCCCUCAGGAGCCUUUCCACCAGAGGGAGAAACCUCAACCCUCUCUUCAGGGGCAUCCCUAAAAGACAAGGCAAUGCCCGCCCUCACGCGCCCAGGAUCCUCCACUGGCCUGUCAGUGAUCUCUGGGGCAAGCUCCGCCCUCGCGAUGGCAGCCUAUUGCAACCUAGUGGCCCGAGAAGACUUAGGAAGGGAACUAGAGCUGCUACGGCUGGAGGGUUUGGAGGUCCUAACACCCCGGGAGCUCGGCUUAGGAGCUCGAGAAGAAGCUGGAGCUGGGUGGACAGAUCGGCCAGCCGACCUGGAUGAGAUGACCUGGGCCACGUCAUGAGUAGCUUCAGACAUGGAUCGCCCAGCUCGGAAGGCAUCCAGGGCAGCCUUCAUACUUUCUCGGGACAGGGUGAAGUUCUUAGGAGCCUUAAUUUUGUCCAUAUCCACUUGAGAAGCUGCAAAGACCCAAAAUCAACACAAGUUAAAAAAUGCUUCAAGAAAAAUUAAGAAGGGAAACAGAGCAAUUAAACAAAGUAUAAUACCUGCAUCCUUGCAGUCCUGAAGACUGGACACGAACAUGCACUUUUCGACAUCAUACUUCUUCUCAAUAGAAGUCAGUCGAAGGUACCCAACCUACUCGGAAAGACUCAGCUGGGGCAAGUCGUUACAGCCCAUAGGGACAUCUUCCCAGGAGAGCUCUACCUCACAAGACAGUCCGGAGUCCUUUUUCAGCUCCACAACUGCAAACCCCUCUACUGACGCGGAACCCUAUGGCACAAGCCUCAAACCCACACGCACAAGUAGAUAUGGAAUCCAAAGAUUUGAUAAACCCACCUCCUAUGGCACCCCAAACUUAGAGAAGCUGAAACACCAGUGAUCGAAGGAUUUAGAUGAGAAUCUGACAAACGCUACAAUGAAUAGUUGAUAAGUUAGCCAAGAUUCCUGGUGCAAUUGAUGAAAGCAAAUCCUCACUCUCACUCAAAGCAAUACACGCCAAAGGCAUGAAAAUAAUUCUAAAAUUUUGAUUAAAAGCUGCCUCUUACAAUUAUUUCUUAUCCUUAUAUAGUAAGGAGAAAAACGAAUAAAACCCUAAGACACCCUUCUUGGACUUGACUUAAGCACAUAAGGCCCAAGCCCAAUCACACACUAAAAUAACACAUAAGUAUUAAAACAUAAGCCCAAAACAUGGCCCAACACUCUAAAACUUAAAAGAUAAAGUAUGGCCAGAAUACAAGCCCAAACAAAGCUAAAAUAAAACAAGUGUUAAAUAAUAAAAAUAUAGCAAGCCCAUCAUAACAAAGCUGAAUCUUCACAAAAGCCUUACUUGAUCUUCACUUUAGGCUUCCCUUUGUGUAGUUUUAGCCCAUGGGCUUGAUUAGGCUCCCUAAGCCUAUAAUUGCAAGUGUUGCACCAAAUCUAUCCCAUAUGAGUUGAAGCACGCCCCAAAUAUAUAUGGAUCAUAUGAAUAUGAUUUUGAACUCCUUUUAGAUCCAUUUGAAUGACAUAAGUUUGCUCCAAACCAUUGUUAGAAAUUUGCCCUAUUGGAUCUGUAUCAUCUACUCAGCCUUUUAUUGAGUCUUUAUGACCCGAAAAUAUAGACAGACCUCCGCGAGGGGCAAAAUAGUAGAAGCCCUGACUUGCCCUAACUAAUCGGAAGAAGGUAACAAACAGACGCGCUGUGGGAGUGAACCUCCAGCUUAGACAAACAGACUCAAAGGAGCACAUGAACAGGAUGGAGUUGGGAGCCAGCAUCCUAGGGGUUAUCCCGAAAUACCGGAAGACCUCGAUGAAAAAGGGGGAAAAGGGAAAGGUUAGACCAUACUCCCGCUGUUUGAUGAAAAAGACCAGGCUAAGGUCCUUUUGAGGGUCGACCAAACCAGAAGGGGGAGGAUCGGGAAGAACGAUCCUCUCAUUUCGAUAGGGAGCUCGGAUAUGAAAAAGGGGGUAUCAACAUACUCCCGGAAAAAGAAAUUUUUUAGGGUGGAAUGAGUAAUACUGGACUCUAGGUUAAUGAUAUCAGGGAAUUUUGGGCUAUCUAUGGAUGAAUAAAGAACGUACCUUGAAAAUGGCAGGGGUAGGGGGACAGAGCUAGCAAUACGCGCAGAGAGCAGAGAAGAGUGAGAGUUUCGGGAAGAUUGAGAAGAUUCGAAUUUUGAAAUAGUAAAGAGAAGAAGAGAGAAGAAAAGAAGUUUUAAGGGAAACAGUCCUCGGGCCGUGCAGUCAUAUUAAUUCUCGAUAUUUACCCCCUCAUCAUUCAUAUAAUAACUGAUGAGAAGGUAAAGGGGCAAUUGAUGACUGCUGGACUUCACCACCCCGGUAUAAGGCCUAACCCAUGAUAGCAGCCCUAAUCCAAAGGUCAUGGGGCCCCUUCAACGAGCUGGCCUGGACCACCCAGCCUUGAGGUCGGGCCUCCCGUAGACCUCAGCCCUUUCAACACCAAGCUCGGCCCUGGAACGUGAUAGGAGAAAGGACAGCAAGCCUAGUCACCUCACAACCCUGUCUACACGCGCGCCGGGGGAAUUAAAUGGCCGCCUGGCAUGGAGAGGGCGUCUGACGGUUCCGUACGUACGGUCCUGUAUGAAAGAAAUAGAUGACACUGUAGCUGAGGGGCUGUCAGGCACGGCUAACAGAUAAAAAGGAAAGGGAUAUAGGGGAGAGGGCACCUUCCCCUAACCCAAGCUGACCCAACCAUUAUAAACCCUAUUUUUCUCAUAUCUCAAAUCAUCAUAUUUAACAUGCAAUUUACUCUAAAUAGUAAAUGGGGAAGAGAAAUAGUAUUUUCCAUUAUAUGAAAGCAAAAUGACAAACCAUUAAACUCUUAUUUAGAAUGUCAAAUUUUGAAAAAAUUCAAAAGAAAUGAAUUCUUUUUUUUUUUAAUUUAUGUUUAAGAAAAUUAAUAAUAUAAAAAUUCAAUUCUCUUAAAUUCUGAUUAAAAUUAUUAAAAUUUUAUAAAAAAUUAUUUUAUUUAAGGUUAUUUAUAUUAAAAUUAUUUAAUUAGCCUUUGAAAAUUUUGUUUAUUUUUUCUUUCAUCCUUUGUUUUUUUCUUAAUUUUAAAUUUAUUUUUAUUUUUAAUUAAUAAUUACUCUUUACAAAAAUUAUUUGAAUUUAAUAGUGACUAUUAAUACUUAAUAUAUUUAUAAUUAAUAUUAAAAAUUUAUUAUAUUAUUUUUUAAUUUUAAAAAAUAAUUUUUAUAUUUUUAAUGAUAAAAAAUUAUGUAAAUUUAGAUUUUAAAUGUUACAAAAAUAUUAAUAAUGUUUUUUCAUGAAUGUGAUAAAAAUUAUUGUUAUUUAUAAGAAUAAAUAUUUAUAUUUAGUUUAAAAAUAAUAAGAUUGAUGAAUAAAUUAAAGUAAUUUAAAUUUUAUUAUAAAUUUGUUUAAUAUAAAAGAUUUCAAUUGAAUUCUAUUACAUUUAAAUUGAUUCCAAUAAAUUUUAUUAUGAAUAAAAAUGAAUUGAAUUCGAUAGAAAUGAAUUGAAUUUUAUUGAUAGAAUUUAAUUCUUUUCUCAUAAAAAUUGAAUAUCAAAUAAGGGCUAAAAGAAUAAAAAGAAUAAAAGAAUGUUGGCCUAAGAUAAGUUGCAUUCAGGAGGGAAGCCUUGGGGAAAUCUGUUGGCAUCUGUGCAAUAGUUGUAUAUCAUGUAGUUGUUCCUCACCCAUUGCAGCCUCUCAUGACUUGUUGAAUCAAGCUCUUCUGACAGCCAUGAAUUUGUCAUGGAGUUUGAAGUCCCACAGGAAGAUACCCCAUUUGACCAAGCACAUGCAUUUGCUUUGAAGUUUCUAUAGGAAGCAGUGAAUGGAGCUUUACUCCAAUCUGUCUUCACUAGACCACCUCUUGUUGCCCAAUCAUCAGCAUUCCAUAGACUAGAGUAAAUUCUCAUUGGCUGAUUCUUUGGAUAUGGAACACCCAUUGAUUCCAAGUUCUUGAACUCUCUAAUUGGGGUGCCAUCUACAGAUAAGAUGAUCCUCUGGGGAUUCCAUAGAAUGGUAUAUGUGUGGAAAUCUGCAGUUGGGUCAAACCACAGAUAGAAUUGCUGCUCUCUGUUGCCUUUGCCUUGGCUGAACACAUUAGUGUGGAGGAUGUAAGGAUCGCCACUCAAAUUCCCCAAGAACUCAAAAUCAAUCUCAUCCCAAGUGGACCCAUUUGAUUUCAACUGCAUAUUCAAUUUCAAAAUCCACAAUGUUAGGACUAGAAUCACAUAAUUGAAAUAAUUAGCAGAAACAGUACCAAAAGAAAUGAAAAACAUACAUAAUAGGCGGUGACAGUGCCAGCAGAGUUGCCAGGGACAAGCUUGAGCUGCAUAUCAAUCUUUGCAAAGAGAUACUCAUUCCUGGACUGAAAUCCAGAGCCAGAAGCUUGAUCAAGGGAGAGAGUGAGAAGUUGUCCAUUGUUGAGAAUCUUAGCUCGGCCGUCUCCCCAUGUAAUAUCAAAAUCAUUAUAGAAGUUGCUGGCGGAAGAAACCAUCAAAGAGGAGACAAGAACAGACAUAAACAGAGAAAGCACCAUGUUUGAAGAGGCUAUAUUUUGCUGUAAGAAAUCGUUUUAGCUUUGAAAGAGGAGAGAUGUGUUUGUAGAGAAGAAUGGGUUGGGUAGCAUUUAUAGUGGGCAAAUGACGAGUGAAAUGAAGAGAAAGUGCUGAGGAAAGGUCAUAGGAAGGUCGAGUGAGCUUAGCUGUGCACAGGAGUGUGUUUGGUGAUGCUUAUAAUAUUUAUUCUAUGAUAGCUGGAAAAUCGCACUACCAAACAUGUUCAAUAGUGAUCAAUACGCGUAUCAGGUUUUUGGUCGGAUACUUGGAUUUCAUACUGCCUUCCUCGGAACCGACAAAAUGAUGAUGCAAGAAUCAAAAGAAAAUUAUAACUAUUCUCUCUCUAAUUUUUAGAGAGAGAAAAAAAAUCUCUGUUUGGCCCUAGAAUUAACUAAAGUGUAAUUAUAAUCCAUGAAUUUUUUUAAAUAUCACUAGAAAUAUUAUUAAUAGUAAUUUUAAUUGAACUUUGUUAAAUGUUGCUCCCUUCAUCGCUUAACAAGUGUCCUAUUUGUUAAUUUCACUAGGUUUAAAGUAAUAUUUGAAUACGUUAAUAGGUUAAUAUUUAUUAUAAAUGAAUUUUUAUUAUGUAAAAUAUCAUAUAUAAUAUUAUAGUAUUUUGCUAAAUAUUUACGCUAUUAUAAAUUAUGUAAAUACUAUUUGUAUAUAAAAAAAAUCAACAUUCUAUCAAUAAUAUUAAAUAAAAUGAAAUAUAAAAUUUUGUAGAUUAAUUUUGAAUUAAAUUAUAAUAAAUUGAUAUACUAAAUUAUUAAUAAAAUUAAGAAAUUUAUAAUAAUAAUAUAAUUUUUUUAAUAUUAUGAAUUUCAAUUUUAGAAAAAAAUGAUAAAAAAAAUUCUAACUUUUAAAAAUAUUUAUAAUUACACCUUAAACUUUAAAAAUUUAUUAAUUAAUCCCUAAUAUUUUAAGUUAUAAUUAAUUGUAUUCUAAAUUUUAUUGAACUAAAAAUAUAAGAUGACAAUAAUAUGUUAGAUAAUAUUACAAUUCUGUUAGUCUUUAACAGAAAUGUUAACACGGAUCUAAUUGGAACAAAUAUAAAAAAUAUAGAAUUUAAUUAGCGAACCAUAAAAAAGUAACUUGGGAUUGCAAAAAUGGAAAAAAGUUAUUUUUUUAUUAUUAACUCUAUUAUAAAUUAUUUUUUUUAAAAAAAAUUUUUUAUCAUUAACUCUAUUAUAAAUUAUUUUUUAGUAUUAUAAAUUUUAAUUUUAUAAGAAAUGAUAAAAAAAAUUCUAAUCUUUAAAAGAAUUUAUAACUACACUCUAAAUUUUAAAAAUUUAUCAAUUAAACCCUGACUUUUUAAGUUAUAAACAAUUGUGCUAUGAACUUGUUGAUAUUAUAAAAUAUGUUGAAUAAUAUGACAACCGCGUUAAUCUAUAAUAGAAAAUUUAACAUAGAGUGAAACUAAAAUAAAAAGUGAAAUUUAAUUAGCGAAUCAUAAAAAAAUAUGUGGAAUCAUAAGAAUGAAAAAAAUAUUUUUUAUUAAUUUAUUAAUAAUUACCAUAAGCUUUUUAUAUUUUAUUUUAUAAUAUACGAUAUUUAAUAAUUAUAAAAUUAAUUUAUUUAAUAUUUAUAGUCAUAUUUUAUUAUAAUUUUUUGUUUACAGUAAAAAAUAUUUAUAAUAUUAUACAAGUAAAAUUAAUUUAUAAUGUUAUUAGUUUAAAUUUAGGAGAAUUAGAUCACUUAUUAUAAUAAAAAUAAUUUACUGAAUUUAAUAAAUUUUAACAUUUAAAAAUUUUAAUCAUAAAUAGAUAAUAUGUAAUCUAUAUUUAUCUAAUUAUUUAGAAGUAUAUAAUUAAUAGAUAAUAUUUCAUAAUUUAAAUUAAUUUAAAGUUAAUAAUAACAUUUGACAUUUGUAUAUAUAUUUAAAUUUAUAAAUGGAUUAUAGUUUUAUAAUUGAAUUUAAAUUUUAAAGUAAAUAAUGAUUUUAUUAUUUAAAUUAAUUUACUAUUAAUAAAGUUUGAAAUUUGAGUUAUAUAUAAAUAAUAAAAAGCCAAAUUUGUGGCAUUAGAUUAUUAAAAUAAUAUAUAUUGAUGAUCUGAGAUCCAGAAAAUAGGGUUUACAAAACGUUCUGUAAGCUUGGCUGAAAAAAGGGCCCUCAAGAAGAGAAUGUUUCUUCCUUUUAUCUGUUUCCAUUGUCUGUCAGUGACGUGUAACGGCCCGACUUCUAUUGGGCCACCUGUCUCUGCCAUAUUGAUAUAAUCGUACGAGGAUAUCAGAUUCCUGCCCCAUGUGUAACGGCCUCUGAUUCCCCCCGGGCGCGCAUGUGGAUGGACCCACAAGGCAGAUGGAUAGGUCCCCUUCCUGAUUCUGAGCUGGACCCAAGGAUUGGAUUAAAGUUGAGCCCAGGUAGGAUCUGUUUGAUGGGCCGUGUGGACUGGGUCGGCCUGGUUGAGGAAGAUAGUUGGAGCUCGGCCUUAAAGCUGAGCGGACCAGACCUGGUUCAUGUGGGAGACUCGAAGGCCUCCAGAUAAUGGGCUAUUGUCAUGGGCCCGGCCCCAAACCGGGGUGACGAAAUCCAGCGGUCAUCAAUUGCCCAUUUACCUCCUCGUCAGUUAUUGCCCGAUUGAAGAGGGGGUAAAUACCGAGAGUCAUCAUGACCGCGCCGCCCAAGGACAAAACUGUUCAAAACAUCUUUUCGGCUCUUUAUUGUUUCAAAUUUCACUUCCCGUCAGUCUUCCCAGAACGUUGGCUCUUCUCUGUUCUACUGCUCUCUUUGCUUUCCUCUGCUCAUUUGCCUUAAUCGUUUUUCAGGUACGCCUCUUCUUUUACCAUGGAUAGUUCUAGUCUCCCCGAUGUCGUCAACCAGGAGUCUAGCAUCACCCCAUCUAACAUUAGGAGUUUCAUCUCUAAGGAAUACCUGGAUACCCCUCUUUAUCACAUCCAGGCUCCUUACCAGAAUGAGAGGAUCGUUCUUCCUGAUUCUUCUCCUCCUGGCCUAAUCGACCCUCAAAGGGACGUCAGUCUAGUCUUCUUCAUCAAACAGAGAGAGUACGGUCUGUCAUUCCCCUUUUCUCCUUUCUUCAAAGAGGUCUUCCAGUAUUUCGAGAUCACCCCUCGAAUGCUAACCCCUAACUCCAUUCUUUUCAUGUCUUGCUUUGAAUCUGUGUGUCUGAGCUGGGGGUUUACACCCACGAUUCACCUGUUCGUCAGCUUUUUCAGGCUAGUCAAAGCGAGCCAAAAAUUUUAUUACUUUGCCCCCCGCGGAGGGUUGUUUAUUUUCACGGUUUAUAAAGACUCCAUCAAGGGCUGGGUAGAGGGGUUUCUGGUGGUGGAGUUGAAGAAGAAUACGGGAUUGGCUUGGGAGCUUGAUCUCGCCUGGCAGGAUGUCUCUCUGGGUUGCAACGACCUGCCCCAGUUGGGCCUUACCGAGCAGGUCGGAUUCAUUCGACUGACUUCUGUGGAUAAGAAGUAUGACGUCGAAAAGUGCUUGUACGCGUCCGACCUUAGGGAUAUUAAGGACGCGGGUAUCUUAUUCUAUCUGCAUGUGUUAGUUUUUGCUUACGCGAUCUUUGCUGAGAACUGUUCUGAUUUGCUUUGAUUUUUAAUUUUGUAGCUUCCGAGGUGAAGAUGGAUCAGAUCAAGCCUCCCAAGAAUCUCAUAUUGUCCCGGGAGAGCAUGGACGCUGCUCUGGAUGCCCUCCUAGCUGGGCAGUUCGUGAGGGAGGCUACUCAAAGGGUGGCUGAGGUUAUUUCUUCCAGAUCGGUUAUCCGACCUCCUCCUCCUCCGACCUCCUCGCAAGCUCCUAGGCCAAGCUCCCGACAUAGUAAGUCGUCUUGGCCUUCUAGCCGCAGCAGAUCGAGCUCGGCUCACCAGUCUUCCCAAGCCCCUCGGCCUCGACGUGCUUCUACUGAGAGGACAGAAGAGACUCCAAGGAUUAUUUUCUGAAGUGGCUGAGGACGCCGAGAUGGCGAGGACGGAUCCUGUACUUCCUCAUGUGGAUGAUUCUAAUGUGGGGCUUGAAGUCCCCGCUGUUGCUGAGGGGGAGGUCCCCAAGGUGGGGCUCGAGGCCCCAUUACUGAAGAGGGAGCUUCAGGGAAAAGAAAGGAGGUUAUUCUUGUAGACGAAGAUGUCCAGGAGGCCCCUACUGGAGAUGCCCCUGCUCCUGAAGAGGUUGGAUCCGGCCCUGCUAAUAAAGGAGGUGCCACGGAGAAGGCCGGGGACAAACGUCCUGCCCCUCCCGAAAUGUCCGCCCCAGUUCCUGCUCGGAAGAAAUCCAGGGCUUCCAAGGGAUCAGCUCCAGCUCUCCCUCCUAUUGGAAAGAAAAAGGAAGCUUCCAAGGGAUUAGCUCCAGCUCUCCCCCCCUCUUGAAAAGAAGAAGGAUGUUCCUGUGAUACCCCUGUUGUCUGCUCCUGACAAUGACAUUUUGAACGCGGAGGACAUCACUCAUCAAACUCCGGUGAGCGUUGUAGCGGAGAUCUUACGGGAGCGGAUAUUCAGGGGAAUCACGGAGGCUUCGGACUCUCGUCUGCUUGCUUUGAUCGGCCACCUGGCUGGCUUCACACGAGAGAAGGCAGCCUUCUGGUCCCUACCUUGAGGGGAGCUCGGAGAUAGGAUCAGGGAGAUGCUCCUGAUGGUAAGUCGUUCGUCCCGGUUUUUGCUUGUCUUCUAAUUUUCUUUGUUUCUUUGUUGUGACAGCUUUCUCUUUUUGCGCUAGGUGAUGGGCCUCUUCAUGGAGGUGGACCCUUGUGACCACUCUCUUUGGGAGUCGGUGGAUCGCCGGGUUGAGGAGGCACAUCUGGAGGAAAACUUGUAUGCCACCAGUGAUGCAUGGAGUAAUCUAGCCGCGGCCCAUGAGCAUGCCAAGUCCCUAGAGGUGGAGUUGUCUCACGCUCGGAGGGUUCUUAAAGAAUCUGACGAGAGGGCAGCUGCUGCUGAGGUCCGCUGUGAAGAAGUCCUGAAGCAGCUGUCCUCCACGGUAGAUGCCCUUCGUGAAAGGGACGAGGCUAUAAUCCAGAGGAACGAGGCUCAGCGUCAGUAUGAGGUCUUGAAGGCUGAUUUUGAAGGAGCCUAGGCUCGUCUUAACAAGGUGGAGGUCCAAAAGGAGGGGGCACUAGCUCGGGUUGAAGUUCUCAAGCAGGAGCUGAGUAAGAGUUCUGAUUGCAUUAGAGAUCUGGCCUCAGCAGCAGAGGAGUCUAAAAUUCAUAAUCAAAAGCUCUGCCAUGAGGUCAAGAUUUUGGAGCAUAGAUGCUCAGCCCUGCUUGAGGAUGUCAGACUCACUGAAGACAGGGUCCAGCUGGAGUGUGAGAGGUGUCUGAUGGAGUAUAAAGAGUCUCCCGAGCUGAAAAAAGAGAUCGAGCAGGCCUGUGAAGCUCGCCUCCAGGAUUACAAGAGUUCUUCUGAAUUCAAAGCCAAGAUAGCUGAGGCCUGUGAGAAGCGACUUGCGGAGUUCCAAGGCUCUGAUGAAAUGAAAACUGCCAUAUGGAAUAAGGGCUUCCGCAUGUUCGUGUCUGGGUAUAAUAGAGGUCUGAGGACAGCUAGAUACAAUCCCUCCACUCCUUUGGCCAAACUCUGAGGUGCUGAAGAGGACUCUGAUGGAGAGGAGGUACUUUAUGGGGAAGAUGACAGACCUCUACCCAAAAGAGCUUCUCGCACUACAGCUGGGCCUUUUGAGGCAGAACCCGAGCUGGGGAACAACGAUGCUGGGCCUCAAGGGCAGGAGAUCAUGCCUUUUAUGGGCACCGGGGGGUCUGAGCAGGAGGAUGCUGGGCCUCCCACGGACAGCAAUGCCAACAAUGUAAAUAUAGAUAGUACAUGGGAUAAUGUAGAUGAUAAUGCCCCUAGACAUGUAAGUCCUUUAAGGACUGUUUUUCCUUCAGUAGAGUAGACUGUAAAGUAGGUUGUAAUUACUUUUCUUUUUAAUGAAAUUUAAUUUUCGAGUUGUGUUGGUAUUUUGAAUUAUUUUGAUUGUUAUUUAUUUCUCUGGCUUUAUUUAUACUUGAGCUAUUCUUACCUCUGCUUGUUCUUCCCUCCUCCUCGGGCUACUUAUUCUGUGCAAACAAUCUAACUUGUUUAAUUUUAAAGAUUUGAGAACAAAACACUUAGGCGGUGCCUAAUAAAUCUUGUAAGGAAUUGGCUACAUCGCCUUUCAUUUCUUGCCUCUCAGUUAAUCAGGGCUGAAAACUUAGCAAGAGACUUAGUCUCUGACUUAUAAUCUUUUCUAAUUUCACAAGGGCGUUCUUAUCUGUAAAUUUUCUCCGAGCUGGAUUUGCCUUAAGGCUAAGAUCUUCAAGCUGUACUUUUUCAUAGAUUUCAACCUCAUUAGGUCUUUACUAUGAGCUCGGUUUUUAACAGCCGACUUAAUAUCUUCAACUUUCUUUCCAUUAUUUUAUAUGUACUAGUUCGGGCGUGUAGCCUUUAUAUGACUGAAGUAAAAGGGAUUAUGUACCUCUUUAAAACAACGAGCAGGGUUGAUCUUCUUGUUUUCAGUUCUGUUUCUUAUCUGCUCACGCCGUUGAACUUCCUUUCAGCUCAUAAGAGGUUUGUUAUCUUCGUUUUGUUCUUUGAGCUUUCUGAGCUCGGUUCUUCUUCUUUGCUUGGUUUUCUGAGUUCAUUUUUUCAGAUCGGCACUUUUGGCCUCUUGUCGUUCUUCAUCUGAUGACUCAGUUUUUGGGUAUUCCUCGGCUGGGUACUUUGUUGCUUAGAUCUUCCUCUAGGUUAGCCGAGCUGGUUUAGCGUCAUUCAUCAAUCUUUGGGGUCUGUAUCUUACUAGCCUACAAUCCGAGUUCGGACUUAGACUUUUUAUAUUUGCUUUAGUAUAUUCUUGAGAUCGGCAUGGCGCUUUGCCUCCUUUGGUUGUCAUAUGAGAUCUGAGUCCCCUUCUCUUAGGAUCUGAGCUCCUUUGGGAGGUCAGGUCUAGCUUUGCUCUGGGAGAUCUGGGUGAUCUUAGUCUUUCGCCUCCCUGAGGUCUCUAUGUCUCAGUUCGGUGUUUGUGGUGCCAGGAGAUCUUGGGGAUCCUGGACUUCCACCUCCCUGAGGUCGUUAUGUCUCAGUUCGGUGUUUGUGCCGGGAGAUCUUGAGGAUCCCGGUCUUGUUAUGCCAGGAGAACUUGGNNNNNNNNNNNNNNNNNNNNNNNNNNNNNNNNNNNNNNNNNNNNNNNNNNNNNNNNNNNNNNNNNNNNNNNNNNNNNNNNNNNNNNNNNNNNNNNNNNNNNNNNNNNNNNNNNNNNNNNNNNNNNNNNNNNNNNNNNNNNNNNNNNNNNNNNNNNNNNNNNNNNNNNNNNNNNNNNNNNNNNNNNNNNNNNNNNNNNNNNNNNNNNNNNNNNNNNNNNNNNNNNNNNNNNNNNNNNNNNNNNNNNNNNNNNNNNNNNNNNNNNNNNNNNNNNNNNNNNNNNNNNNNNNNNNNNNNNNNNNNNNNNNNNNNNNNNNNNNNNNNNNNNNNNNNNNNNNNNNNNNNNNNNNNNNNNNNNNNNNNNNNNNNNNNNNNNNNNNNNNNNNNNNNNNNNNNNNNNNNNNNNNNNNNNNNNNNNNNNNNNNNNNNNNNNNNNNNNNNNNNNNNNNNNNNNNNNGUAAUAGAGAUAAUUAUUGCAUUGUCAUAAGGUGGUGCUAUUCCAUUCAUUCGUGUUUUCAUAGUACAAGAAUUUAUUUUUACAAAUAUUCUAAGGGAAGUACAUCUUCUGUUUCACCGGCUCAUUCAACCUUCUUUUCCUCCAACGAUCAUGUUGAUGGUCCCACUGGACCCAUCAUUUACUGGCCCCGCUCCCAUUCUCCUGAGUGUUUGCGUUGCUGGGUUCGGCUGAGGUCUUUGUCCCUCCGGUUUCUUCACAAAGUUCUUGAGGUGUCCCCUCUUUAUUAGCCUCUCGAUCUCAGCAAUCAACUGGAAGCAGUUAUUGGUGUCAUGGCCGUGUGUGUGAUGAUAUUGACAGUAUUUGUCGGGAUUUCGCUGGUCCGCUUCAGUUAUCAUGGGUCUGGGCCAUUGUAGGAGUUCCUUGUCUUGGACGGCCAUGAUCAUUUCGGCUCGGGAGGCAUUAAGUGGGGUCGGCUUCUCUGGAACCCAUGGGGGAAGUGUCUUCUAUUCUAAGGCCCGAGGAGGGGGGAGUUUUUGGUCCCUUCUCUCCCAUGGUUGUCUGUAGAGUUCAGGUUUCUUGCCGUGUUUCUUCUCGUGCCUCUCCGGCCUCCUUUCCUCCAGGGCUUUCCCCUUAUCCGUCGCUCCCCUGGCAAAUCUGCUUGUUACUAAGGCAUCAUCCUGCCUGAUGUACUUCUCUGCCCUCUUCAUCAGCUUGGCCAGUGAGGUAGGAGGCUUUCUGCUCAACGAGCCAAAGAACUCGGGUGAAGUCGUCCCUUUCUGCAUAGCCUCCACUGCUCUACCCUCAUCCAGCUCGGGAAUUUGCAAGGCCUCCGUAUUGAAACGAGCAACGUACUCCCUGAGCAAUUCAUCCCUUCUCUGCCUGACUGUUUCUAGAUAACUCGUCUUUCUGUCUGCAGGCAUCCUGGUGAUGAACCGGCUAAUGAAGUGGGUGGCCAGAUCUCCAAAGCUUCUUAUGCUUCCGGUCUGAGGCUGUUGAACCAUGCCCGUGCUGGCCCUGAGAGCGUCGUCGGGAAUACCUUGCACAUCAAGGCAUCUGACAGAGUCUGCAGCUCCAUGAAAGUCUUGUAGUUCAAGACAUGCUCCCGGGGGUUUCCAGCUCCGUCGUACGCCGCCAUAGGUGGCAUCAUAAAUUUCUUCGGGACGGUCUCCUGCUGCACCCACUUUGAGAAGGGUGAAGAGGUAGGCAGAAGAGUUUGGCUGGGGUCUUUCGCCCCUAACUCAGCCAAAAGUUGCUCUCUCAUCUUCUACAGCUUUUGGUCUACGCUCUCUUCUUCCUGCCUAGGCCUUUUCUCCGCGCGACCUUCCUCCUCCUAUGUCUCGUUCCCCUUUCUUCCGGUGGUUCCGACAGAAUAACUAUCAACUUUAUCAUUCUCUAUCAACUCCCUCACCCUCUGAACUCGAGCUUCCGGCUCUUCCUCUUCUCCGGCUCUUCUCCCCCCGUCUCCGGUUUCUUGGCUGACAGUUUGGGGAUGGUUGAAGGUAGGCUGAGGUUCGUUGGUCCGAGGCUCUUCCACCACCGGCAACACCUGUACUGGGGUGCUGAGGCCCCGUUGUUGCAUUAUCUGCCCCAACCAGUGGGCGGUGUUUUGUAACUAGAGGGCGAUGGCUUGGAGGUCCUGGUUGGACAAGGCAGCGGUGGACACAUUCCCCGCCGGGCUUGGCAAGGGGUUGAAAGGGAUGGGUGGUUGAUUGUUUGGAGUUGUAGGACUGGAAAAAGAGAAUUGCUGCCCCUUUUGGGUGGAGCUCAGGUCAUUGGGAGUGUUAAGAUUGUUGUUUUCACUGUGAUUAGCCAUCGUGGAUCUCAGUGGGUUUGUUUAGAGUGGAACUCCGGUGAUGAAAAGAUCUCCUUCGUUCCCACAGACGGCGCCAAUUGAUGAUCUGAGAUCCAGAAAAUAGGAUUUACAAAGCGUUCUGUAAGCUUGGCUGAAAAAAGGGCUCUCAAGAAGAGAAUGUUUCUUCCUUUUAUCUGUUUCCAUUGUCUGUCAGUGACGUGUAACGGCCCGACUUCUAUUGGGCCACCUGUCUCUACCAUAUUGAUAUAAUCGUACGAGGAUAUCAGAUUCCUGUCCCAUGUGUAACGGCCUCUGAUUCCCCUCGGGCACGCAUGUGGAUGGACCCACAAGGCGGAUGGAUCAGUCCCCUUCCUGAUUCUAAGCUGGACCCGAGGAUUGGAUUAAAGUUGAGCCCAGGUAGGAUCUGUUUGAUGGGCCGUGUGGACUGGGUCGGCCUAGUUGAGGAAGAUAACUGGAGUUCGGUCUUAAAGCUGAGCGGACCGGACCUGAUUCAUGUGGGAGACUCGAAGGCCUUCAAAUAAUGGGCUAUUGUCAUGGGUCCAGCCCCAAACUGGGAUGACGAAAUCCAGCGGUCAUCAUAUAUUAUUAAAAGAAUAAAAAGUGAAUAUAAAAUUAUUAAAUAAUAAUAAUUUAUAUAUAAUAAAUAUAUAUACAUAAAUAUAUUUUACGAAUAUUAAACCUGCAAUGUAGGUUGUAUAAAAUUAGUAUAUAUAAAAAUAAAAAUAAGCGACAAAUAAUAUGAUUAAUAAAAAAUAAUAUUAUUAAAACAAAAAUAUUUAAUUCUCGAAUAAAAUUUCACAAAUUAUAUUAUAAAAUAAUUUUAUUCAUACCUCUAAUCAAUUAGAAAAUUAAUUUUAACAGUAAUUUUAAAAUUAUUUUAAUAUUUUUAAUUUUUAAAAUUAAUUUUAUAAAUAAAAUAAUUUUAUUCAUGUCUCUAAUCAAGUUAAAAAUUACACUAAAAUUAAUUUUUAAUUACUAUUAAAAUAUUUAAAUGACCUAAAUUAAUAAAAACUAUUUAAAAUUAAAUAACUAUUUAAUUUAUAGACUGAAUUUUUUUUAAAAUUAUUUUCAGCCCUCAAAGGACAACUUUGAAAAAUUUUCAAAAAGUACAGGGACCAAAUCAUAAUUUGGCUAAGAGUUUCAUCUUCUUCCUUCGGAAGAUGCCCUAGCCGGCGCCCCCUUCUACACAGAAGCCCGUUGGACGCUCCAGCCGCCAACACAGGUCGCCGAGACAGUGCAACACUUGCGCUUUUAGCGGCACCUGUACAACGAUGCCGGCGUCCUUGAGAUCGGCAACAUCACGAAGGAAAUUUUGGUCUUCACAGCAAUUCCUCCCCAGCGACGUCUAGGCUGCUGGGUCCACACUGUGACCACUGUGCAUGCCGUCCAUGCAACGCCGGUCCAUAGGCUUGCGUCGGCCGCUGUGCACGUCCCUUGUCGACUAACGAACCUGGACAUGCGGUAAUCCUGAGAUUGUGUUCUCCCUUCAACACGAUUUAUUGUAAACAAUUUCCAACAAAAAUUAACUUUGAUCAAAGAACUAAAAAACAAUUUGAUUCCAAAUCAAGUAAUUUUUCGUGACAAUAAAUCUAGAAAAAUAUUUUUUAAAGAACACCAAAAUUUAUUAGCAUACACAGUUUAAUUUUAAUUAACCCAAUAAUAAACAUAAUGGACUAUUAUACUUUAAUUAACACUCUAAUACUAGUAUUAGAAUUUAAUCAUAUUAAAUGCAGCGGAAAGAAUAGGAAAAAAAUUUUUUUUCACAAAAAUGGAUCACGUUUAAACAAAUAAAACAGAGUAGGAGUGAAGAAAAUAAAUAUCUUUUAUUUUCUUUGCAGCAAAAUGUGAGAUCGUUCGUUUCAGUUGAUUAUUGCAAACCAUAAACCGUCAAAGUGCACAUUCUCUAAGGAUAUUCAUACGGAAUACUAAUAAAAAAACUUAGAAUCAUUCUAAGGAUCGAGAAAGAGAAGAGGUUUUGAAUGCGGGCCCUUUACUUUUUCCUACAAAUUAUGGAGACUCACCAAAGUCUAUCACACCCGACUUUUCAUAAGAGGUCCUUAUAUAUUAAAACCCUAGAAUUUAAGUAUAAUAUUAUUUAUUUAUUUGUUUAACUAAUUAAAUAAAUAAGUUACAAUUAUAUCUAAAACUUUAAUAAAUAAGUCAUAUAAAUCUUAGACAAUUUUAAUUUCUUCUGUAUUGUAAUAUCCAACUAAACUUCGGUGUUGAAAUUCUAACUUUUCAAAAAAAUCUACAUUGGAAUCCAAAAUUCCAAAAUUAGAAAUUUUAGAAGGGUAAAAUAGAUUUUUUAUAAAAUGAAUUUUAAGCAUUUUAUAAUGUGUUAAAAAAAUGAUUUUCAAAUCAUUAAGAUUCGGCCGCCGAACUCAAGCUGGCAGACCCAAAUUUUGAGAGUUCUUCUCUUUUCUUUCAGCAAAGGUGAACCUAAGACCUCUUGAUGAUUUUUGUUUUGAUUUUUCCAUAAAUCCUUUAUGAAUUCAUGGGUUUUACCUUUGUUUUGAAGAAUCAAGUUGAAUUUUUCGAGUUUGAGCCUUUAGGGACCCUUUGGAGUUCAUCUUAUCCUCUUUUUUGAGUCCUUGAUUGCUGUGACCAUUGUGUCUCCAAGAGAUAAGUUAUAAUCCUUACCUCUCUUCUGUUGCUUGAGUUUUUAAAGAAAUUUUAAGUUGUUUCAAUGUUUGAUAAUGCAUACAAAGUUUGGAUUUUAAGUUUUUAGUUUUGAGAUAGUGGAUGAUUUCUUGUUUUGAUGAUGCAUGUUGAAAUUUAGGUUAGUUUUAAGUGGUUCUUGGUGUGUUGAGUUGUAAAUGUAUGCUUUUGAGCUGUUGCAUGAGGGUUUUAUCUGUUAGUGUAUAUGCCCUAGGCCAUUAUCUUGGACCUUUUUGUAUGUCGUUUUGGUUAUUAAUAAAAGAGAUUUUUAUCAUUAUUAUUUGUUUGCAUGUUACAUAAUAAUGAUUAUCAUCCCUGGUUACUUAUAAUAAUGUUGAUAAUAAUAAAAUAUAACUAGUAUGAUUAUUGAUUGAUAAUCAUGAGAUGAUUAUGUAUAUGUUGAUAUAAUUCAAUAAUUAUAGAUACUUGUUAGAAAAUAAAGUAUUGGAUCGACCCGCAUUGAGAUCACUACAUGGGUUAUUGUCAUAAGUGAAUCUCAAAAUAGUUAUGUCUUAAUCCUUUGACUUGAGAUUGUCAUAGUUUCCAACAUAAGGACUGUUAUGUUUUGACAUAACCAAACAUUGUCUUUAAUCGGACAAUCAUAAAGGUUAUGAUUGAGCAUAAUAGAAAUUAUGUAGAGGAUAUUGAACAAUCAAGAUAGGAUUUGUUCCUCUCUAAUAGAGAUAUCUUCUGGGCCCCUCGAUAAGUGAGACUGAGAAAUGCAUGGCCGUGCUCAAAUGAAUUGAUAGUGUGAUCAAUAUCAUUUGAAUUUAUCAGUCUACUUAGAGAUGGAGAAAUCAUAAGUUUGAACAUUAUAAGUUUGACAUUGACCAUGAUUUAUGUUCAAACUAGAUAUCGUGUGACAAAGGGAUUAAUACAUGUUCUAUUUAUUAGGCUUUAUCGGACUAUUGAUCCUCAUAUUAAUUGGGUAGUCAUAAUGUCUUGCUAGAGGCCACUUAUGACUUAUGGGCCUUGUGGGACUGAGCCUAUUACCAAUUAAUGUGAGCCUAUUGGGUCACACACAAAAGAACGUUGUUGAUGUGCUAUGACAUAUUAAUGGGCUAAAAGCUCAAAGCCCAUUAAUAUAAUUAAUAAUAAUAAUGUGUUAUUAUUAUUAAUCAUUAAUAUAAUUAAUAAUAAUAAAGUGUUAUUAUUAUUAAUCAUUAAUUAAUAAUAAUAAAGUGCUAUUAUUAUUAAUCAUUUAUUAUUAUGAGAUAAUAAUAUUUAAAUAAUCUGCAGAUUGUGGAGCACAUAAUCUAUCUAUCUUUAAGAGAGCUAGCACUCUAGAAGGAUAGAAGACGUUCGUGUGGAUACCAUAGAGCACUACAAAAAAACAGUGAUUUAGUGACCAAAAUUUUGGUCGCUAAAAGGCAAAAUUUGGUCGCUAUUAUGAAAUAGCGACCAUUUAGCGACCAAAAUUAAAUGGUCGGUGUUUGGCCAGUAGCUAAAUUUUUGGCGACAAUCUGGAAAUUGGUCGCUAAAAUAGCGACCAAUCAGCGACCAUUUUUUGGUCGCUAAUUUGGUGUCAUGGCAAAUUAGGUAUUAGAAAUAUUAGUCGCUGUUUUGUCGUUAAAUUUUGAUCGUUAAAUGGUCGCUGUUUUGGUCGCUAAUUUGGUCGCUAUUUCGUUGUUAUUUGAUCGCCUCAAGGAAGAGCAUUUGGUUGCUGUGUGGAAGUAAAUUGGUCGUUAAAUUUCAGUCGUUAAAUGGUCGCUGUUUUGGUCGCUAGUUUAGUCGCUAUUUCGUUAUUAUUUGAUCGCCUCAGGGAAAAGCAUUUGAUCGCUGUGUGAAAGUAAAUUGGUGAAAUUAAAAGAGAGACUAAUUAAUUAUUUUUUUUAAAUAUUAAAAAUAUUUUGGUAUUUUAUUUGAAAUUGAAUAAUCAAAACAAUAAUUUUGUUUUACUAUAAAACGAUUUAAGUCCAACGGUUAGGAUAAUUACCUUCCAAGCAAUAGACCCGGGUUCGACUCCCGGCAAACGCAGAACUUUUGACUUUUUUACUUUUAAAAACAUAUCCUUAUCAUUCAUUUCAGGAAACUGCAAAAAUAUAGUGUACAUUUCUCGAAGAUCAAAACUAAUACUAACAAUAAAUUAAUAAAUACAAUAUAUGCAAGUUUUUAUAAAUCUGAAUUCUGACAUCUACCCUUAAUCUGACUUGUGCAGAUUAUGAAGGAUGUAUAAAGAAGCAGAUGACAAGAAAAUACAAACAGAAUAGCUUAGUAAAUCAAUUCCUGUAGCUAUUUUCACCAUUUUGCUCCUCUCAAACAUCUUCACCAGAAGAAUCAUAACAAUAACAUGUCCUACUUUUGUCUUCAGUUCAUCAAGUGAGCUAAUCUUCAUCCACUUUGGUCUCUCCUGCAAACCCCAAAAAAAUUCUUUCAAUUGCAUCAGAAAAAUUCCUGGAAAGUGAGCAAGUUUCUCAGGGAGUGAAAUUUACCUUCAAAGCAAACAUUCCAAAUAGGGAAGAGCCUUUUAGGGCUCGGUCGACAUGGGAAGGAACAUCAGGAGGCACAUUGCUGAUAAAAAUCCGUAUAAGCCCAUGCCGAAGAUUAGCAUCACAUUUCCAGCAAGAUAAACAUCUGCAUUCAGCAUAGAUAUAUCAGCAUAAAUGUUCAUCUUCAACAGAAACUUCAUAUUUCGGAUUUAAAAUAGGAAACAGCAUAAAUUGGACUUCUGAGAAUGAACUUCAGUGACAAAAUUCAAUACAUGAAAAUUGAUUGAGAGCACCCUACAUAUGUGUAUUCUCAAAAUUAGUUCCCCUAUAAAAUAUUUUGUGAAAUUAACAUGAAUGCUCUUAAGACUAGAAAAAUCAAACAAAGCAUUGAACUAAUUCUUAGAGAAGCUUACCAAUAGCUUCGACUAAGCGCAGAACCAUCUGUCCAGUGUGAAUUCCUUUAACACAGCUACUCCAAUAAACUUUGUAUGCAUCAAAAAUGUAAACACAACCCUGCAAUAGAUCAAAAGGGGUGACAGAAUUAAUCUCAUUCUGCACAUAAUUUUCUAUUAAUGUUGAUUUAACUGCAAUUCAUACACUUAAGCUAGAGCUAUUAGUUCACAUUUCAAAGCACAACCCUCUCAAAAGACCAAAACAACACAAGUUUUGUAUCAAAAGCAGCUACCAACUUAUGCAGAGAAAGGCAGGUGUACUCAGCCUCUCACUGUGGGAGAGAAAGCCAAUAAACUCCUUUGGACAAAAUACUAAAGCUCUACCAUCAUAAUUAAUUAAUGUAAAUUCCAAUUCUAUGCGACUGAAUGAAAGAAGUUGAUAAAUGCUGGGUAGAAGAAAGUACAUUUAAGAAGCACAAGAGUGAACCAGCUAAUGAGCCUCCAAUAGCCAGAAGUGCCAAAAAACGGAAAUCAAAGAUCACUUGCCACCAGUGAAUAUAAAAGGUGCUCCAUUGUCAGACUUGAUAUACAUAAAAGAAUCCAAUAAAAACGAUUUUAUAAGAAAAUUCAUGUGUCCAGAAUCAAUUUUAAAAUGAGAGUUCAUUUGAAUUCUAGUUUUUGGAACAGCUAACAACUAAAAUUAACGUCCUCAUUUUCUAUUUUGCCCUUAUUUACAAAUAAAUGUGAGUUAAAGUAGGUUGUUUUUAAGGGUUUUCAAUAGAACACUUCAUUAAAUGAGUCAGAAUUCUUGCAAAAUAAAGCCACUUUUGUCGUGAAUUCAUUUAUUUCAAAAUGACUUUUUAUAAAAGACCCAAAACAGUUCCCCUUAUGCCUUCUAAAACGACUAUAAAACAAAGAACCAGAUACAAAAAUCCCCAAUUCAAUGGCUCGAUGUAGAAGCUAGCAUGCCUGGAUGCAUUUCACAAUGAACAAAUAUCAUUUGUGUCUACAGAUAGUGUUUGCAUAUCAUAAACACUCUCCUUUCAGAACAUACUCUUUAUAAAAAUAAAAUUACUUACCUUUUACAGUUGCUGAUGAGGACUGAGGACUGAACUGAGGAAGACAGAGGAUUGAGGACAACCAAGUUGCUGACGGCGCGGAGAGCCGAUGGACUGGAGAGCGACGACCGACGAUUGCGUGGAGAGCGACGACCGACGCCGACGAUUGUGUGGAGGCCGCGAAGAGGCUCUUCUUGCAUGCAACACAUCAGAAAGCGAAAAAAAUGUCAACAACACAAAGAAGCAAGUACUGGGAGAGAGGAUUUGGGUUAGAAGCUAGAGAAAUUGAAAAAACCUUGGGAGAAAACUACAAAUCCACCAGUGACAGAGAGACUAGAGAGCGACAGUGAGGAGAGGAGGCAGAGGCAUGUGUGAUGUGAGGCGGCGUGGAAUGGAGAUUAGCUUCUCUACUGACUUUUAGAUUUAGGGCAAAUAAGGGUACAUUUCAAAACGAAGUAGUAUAGGUGAUUUUGGUUCGGUUCGAUUUAAUCGAAAAUUUUGAAUUUAAAACUGAACCGAACCCUAAUAGAACGGAUUUGAGUAGUUAUAAUCGGCUUUGGAAUAGGUUCGGGUUUUAAAAAUAAUACCCGUUGCGGAUUCGGAUCGAAUUCGGAUUUUAUGUACAGGUAUCCACUACCCGAACCCGUUUAUAUAAAUAAUUAAUUUAAUAUAAAAAAUAUAUUUUAUAAUAAUAUUUAUAAUUUUUUUUAUAUAUUUUUAUUUAAAAAUUUAAAUUUAAAUAUUCUUUAGAAAUAUUAGAUUUUUUAAAUGAAAAUUAUUAAUGAAAAAUAUUUUUUAUAUAAAUUAUUAAUUAAAAUAUAUAAAAUUAAACGGGUUCGUGUUUUAUUUGGAUAAUAAUAAUCGGGUUUGUAACGGAUUCGGAUAGUUUAAAUUAAUUUUUAUUCGGGUUCGGAACGGGUUCAGAUAUUACUAAUAUAAAUCGGGUUCGGAUUCGGGUAGUUUAAUUUUCGCAGAUACCCUACCCGUUUACAUCCCUAACGGAGAGAGGGAAGUGUGACUUGAGUAAAAUGAAAAAAAUAAAUGAGGGAUUACGGUUAGUUUUGUUAGUAUAGUUAAUUAGGGAUUAGGGAUUAGGGAUUAGAGAUUAGAAAUUAGGGAUUAGUAGGGGUGAGCAUUCGGUCGGUUCGGUUCAAAACCGAACCAAACUGAAUAAACCGAAAACUGAAAUUUUAGUGUUUAUGAAAAUCAAACCGAACCGAUUUUGGUCAGAAACCGAAUCGAACCGAACCGGUCUGAUUCGGUUUGAUUCAGUUCGGUUUGAUCGGUUUCGAUUUUUAAUAAUUUUUUUAUUUUUUACACUUUAUUUUUUGUAUUUUUAAAUUUAAUUAAAAUAUUUUAAUCUUAAUAUGAUUUAAUUUCUCUAUAUUAAUGAAAAAACAAAUUAUUAUCAUUAAUCGGUUCGGUUCGGUUUUUUCAGUUUUUUCUGAUCAAAACCGAACUGAAUCGAAAUAAUAAAAAAUUUUAAAAUUAAAAACCGAAUCGAACCGAAAUGUAUAAAAAACCGAACCAAAUUUUCAAAUCGGUUCGGUACGGUCGAUUUUUUCGGUUUAAACCAAUUUCUGCUCACCUCUAGGGAUUAGGGUUAAUUUUGUUAGGGAUUAUAGAUUAAAAUUAAGAAUUAGGGAUUAUGGUUAAUUUUAUUAAGGAUUAGGGAUUAGAAAUUAGAGAUCAGGUUAUAGUAUCCUUAAAUUAUCAAAACGACGUCAUUUUGUAUACCCAAUUCAAAUCACUUAAUUUAAAUUUUAAAAUUUUAAAUAAAAUAAAAUUUAAUUAAAAAUUAAAUUAAAAUUUUAAAAAUGAAAUGGUUGCUGAUUGGUCGCUAUUUAGCGACUAAUUAGUUUAGUCGCUAAAUAUGGUCGCAAAAUGGUUCGCGCCAUUAAUUCCCGCUAAAUUUAGCGACCAUUUUAAAUUUGGUCGCUAAAUAUCGACCAAAUAACGACCAAUUUUUGGUCGUUGAGCUUUUUGUUAAAUAAAAAUAUUAUUUCAUUCAUGUAGUAGCAGAAUGGUCGCUAAUUGGUCGCUAUAUAGCGACCAAAAAUUUUGGUCGCAAUUUCACAGUUUUUUUGUAGUGAGGGUGUUCGUUUGAAAAAGCAGCACCAUCAGUCUACCAUUAUAUCUUUUGGACGAGAUUAACAUGUUAGUCUCAUAUUCUUCUUGUGAAUUAAACGAAGCACUCAGAUUCUGGGAAAAGGAAAUCAGAGAAAUUUUAUUUUUUCGCUGCGUCUUUGGGUUGCAAUUAAUCUCGGGAUUUCCCAACAUUAUCAUAUUUGAGACUGUUGGCUGAGGCAGAAUCGGAUUUUGCAUUGCAAAAGAAUCCAUAUUCGGUCGUCAAACCUGCCUAUGAAGGCUUUCUAACUUGCCUCCAAAGGUUUGACCUUCGGAUUGUAAGGGGACUUUAAGCCACCGAACCAGCUGCCGAAAGUCCCUUGUCUAGUUGUUUUCAGCUCAUUUUCUGCAUAUUUUCUUAUAUGUUUAUAGGAGUUUUUUAGGGUAGUUAUAAGAGUUGUAAAAGUUAUGUUUGACCCCUCAUUUAACCCAUCUGUAUAGAUCAGACUUAAGAGACUGUAGAGGCCAACAAUGAGAUAACUGCUUCAAAGAUAGGCUUGCAUCAGCCAGAAGUGAGUAGAACUACACUAAACUAUUUUUUUAAAUAAAUCAAACAUUUUAAGUAUGCUCAUGCAUUCACGAAUGCCAUAUGUAUAUGAUUAGAUUAUUUUGCAUUAGAAUUCACGAAUAUAAUGCAUUGCACAAUUCAUUGUUAUUGUGGAUGGAUUUUGGAUGAUUCACUAGCCCUCGACCAUGCUAUUAUAUAUUAUGACGGAUAUGGUAAAGACCAGGGUUGCCCAUUCUAUGCCCCUAGCAUUAUGUUUCGGAAAUACUAAGAUUGCUCAUUCUACACCCUUGGCAUUAUGUAAGAGAAAAACUAGGGUUGUCCAUUCUACACCCUUGGCACUAUAGAUAUAUUAUAUUAUAUUUAAGAGGAAGUCCUGAGGAGCACCCGUUGUGGGUUGGGCACUAUUGAAAUUAUGGAGAGUUACUGGUGACAGUCCAUCUUGAUAUGUAUUAUUUGUGUUGUGAUCUAUUCAUAUAAUCAUAUGUUUUAUUAAACUAUUUUAUGAUUAUCUUUCUGCUCACUAGGCUCUUAUAGUUUAUCCUUAUCCCCUAACCUCAGGUUUGCAGGACCAAAGUUAGCUCGGGAGGUCAGCAGUGUUAUAUGGUAUAGUUUUGAUGUAAUAGUAUAGUUGUAGACAUGUAAUACAUAAUGUGGAUUAGAAUUAUAUUUUGCUCGAAUUUUCUUUUUAUAAUCACUUGUUUAUGAUCUUAUUAUGUAAAAGUUUUAAAGUUUAAGUUUUGUUUGGACCAAAUUGAGGUAUGUAAUGAUGACCACAUUGGAGUAUUUGAUGAGUGCUCUAGUAUGGGUUUUAUAUUUUCAAUUAUGUUGCAUGUACAUGCUGAGUUUUAGUUCAUGAGAUUGAAAUAUUUUUAUAUGUUUUUAUGAUCAUGUUUGAUAUUAUAUUAGGUGUAAUAGGAUGUAUAGCAGGCUUGUUACGGGCUCUGGCGACAUUGAGUCGAUCUAAACCCUGGCGCCAGCAGCGGUCUAGUUUUUGAGUCGUUACACCUACUUAAUUAAUUAGGUCAAAAUUGUAAUUCUUUUAAAUUACAAUUUUAUCCUAAUAUCAUAAAAUUUAUAUGCAAUCAAGUCCUACUUGAUUUGACUUCUCAUUUUAUUUUUUUAUGUUAUUCUUUAUGUGUAUGACGCAUUAGGUUCCAAAUAUGUUGGCAACAAAUAUAAUUAACUAAUUAGUUAAUUUUAAGGUCAAUAAUAUUAUCUAACAACAUGCUAAGACUACCCAAAUAUUUGGAAUGUCAAUAGUGAUUUGACUUAACCUUUCAGUCAAUAAUUUCUCAGUAUAAUUAAUAUCCCUUUAUCACAAAUGUCCCGAUUUAAUAUUUAAUACAUAGAGCGUGUCUACUAUGUUAAAUCAUAUUAGUUCUCAUUUAUUAGUUAUUGACCUAUUGAAUGAAAUUUCAAAUCUAAUUUACUAAUUUCAUUCCACCUUGCGCAAGGAUUUCAUUAUCAACGAACCAGAGAAUAAAUAGAACAUUCCUUAAGAAAACCUAGAGUGAUGAAUCCUAUCUCAAUUACGUAAACACUUUCAUACAGUUUCUACUAUAUCCAAUUCAUCUCUAUUUAUUACUCAUGAACUAAGUAAUGUGUAAGAUGAAUCAAAACAUAGAAGUCUCUAUAUAAGAUGAUUUGUUGAUUUCAAUUCAAAGAAUCUUAUACAACUAUCAUUUGAGUAAUCCAUAGACACACAUUAUUCUCCAUAUGAAUUUUUCAGGCAGGUCAGUUAAGUGUACUCAUUUAUAAAAUAAGUAAUGCACUUAUUUAUAAAAUAAGUACCUACAUAUUAGUUUUAGAUAUUUCAUAUAUAUCAACCUAUGAGAUUAGUUGCUCCUCUAAAAAGAAAGAACAUAAUAUGUAUCAAUCUCAACAGUUCUAAUCGUUGUCCAAUAACGAUAAGAACAAUUAAUAAGAACAUUUAGAGACAUUUCUGAAAUGCAAUAGAAAUCUCACGAUUAUAAGCACUUUAUAAUUUUUUUUACAUAAUAAUGUAGUUUCAUGAACUAACCUUUAUAUUAAAUAUAAAUAGAUGCCUUUAUUAAAAUGUAUUAAACACUUAAAAAUACAGAAAUAUAAUAUCUAACUACAACCAACCGAUGGGCUGUAGGACAUAUUACUAAUAGGAAUUGUUCUCUUACCUUGCAUGACUUUAGAAUAGACCUGAAUAGAGUUUAAAUUGCACUGCACUUUAAUGUGAUGUUUUGGUUGUUCGAAUUGUAGAGGAGAAGCUUCCCAAAGCUCCAAGCCAAAGGGAAAGGAGAAAGAAGUCAACUAGGAGCAACUAGCUUACUUUAGUUUGUGCUCACUUAACCUUUAAUUUGUGUAUGUCAAUUAAUUGUAUUUAUUGAGUAAAAAUGUGUAAGUUUACUAUAUUUAGAUGUUUUUGAGUGAUUCAUAUGCAUGGGAAUGAGAAUUGAUUUGAGUUCAUUAAGAUUGUGUUGUGAUGCUAAAAUUAGUAAAUUUGUUUGAAUAGUCCUUAUUAUUGAUAUUGUAACUUGUGAUGAAAAUAUUUAAUUGCUAUGUAAUUUAUACUAAAAUAAUCUUGAGACAUAUAACUAUAACUUUCAUGAAGACUAUAAGGUCCAAUCCUGUGAUUAAAGGCUUGAAAUAUAGGAAUAAAGUUGGCUUAAAGGAAAAGAUAAUGUUGGAUUUGUAGUGUUAUUUUUUAUCGUCUUAGUUUAAUUGGCAAUAAGUUGAGUUAUAAUUAUCCAAAUUAGGUAAUUAUUGAUGCUUUAGAAAGCUAAUAUAUUAUAAAAAAUACCCAUGCAUAUAGUUAGGUUAAAAUAAUAAAUCAAAUAAAACUUAUUUAAGAUUAAAAUUACUAUUGUUGCGAAAUUGAUGCCCUAUGUACAAUUUUGGUAAAUAAUGCAUAUAUGGAGUUAGAUAGGUCUAAAUGGUCUAAAACAUGUCUCAAAUGAAUCAUAUGGCACUGUCUUAUAACUUUUUAGAAGAGAUAUUAGCCUAAUUCUUAUUGGAAUUUGUUCUUCAAAUCAGAAUGAAUAAUACAUGUGAAUAGUACAUGUGAAUAAUACUAAACCUGAAACUUAAUUUUAAAUGGUUAUAGGCAGUUAGGAGAUAAAUGAGCAUAACUUGAUCUAGGAUUGUCCAUUUAACUUGAAAUUUAUAUCAAAUUAAAACUAAUAUAGAGCUAAAAAUUUAUAGAAGAUAAUUUUGCCAAAUUAUGUUGUUAACCUUAUAUUUAAAGCUACACAAGUCAAUACAAGCAUAGGUGACCAAACCAAGGUUGUUAGUUGCACCAUUUGCAACCUAGAGAGAAUGCACUAUAACUUGAGUUAUAGUUAUCCAAAUGAGUUGAUCUUUAUUUUUUUAGAAAGUUAGGUCAUAGAGAAACAAAUUUUAUGAGUUAAAUAUGCUUUAAACCAUGCUAAAAUUUGGCUACAAAAUUGAACAGAAAUCUGCCCUCUAGGUGAAAAAUAUAAAUUGAUUUAUUUAAUAUGUUUACUUACUAAGUAAAUGUACAUAUAAGUUAUGUAUACAUAUUAUGGCAACUAAUAAAUUGUUAUGCAUGUAUUCGUAUGAAGUUGCUAGUAGUUGUACACUCGAAAUAGAUGUCAAGAGGAUUUUAUUAUUUAAACUUGAAUGCACAAUUAUGUGUAAAAAAAAUGCAAAUACUUAAUAUAAAUACUAUUGGCCCUAGUGAGUUUCAUAAAAAUUGAUAGUUAGCAUAAGGAUGUGGUAUGUCAUACACAUUAGUAGUACUACGCUACAAUUUAUAUGAUUCGAGGGUUACGUUGAGGUGCUUUUUGGUAUGGCAAUGGUGCCUACCACUAUAGUUAUCAGCCUCUAGGCCUAUAGUUUGUACUUGGUGCAUACAAAUAUAAUCAUUCCUUGUUUAGCUAUUUGAGUUUGUUAAACUUAUAAGGGUUGGCAUUUAAAUCAAAACUACGUUAAGACAACAUUUUUAACAAUAAAUAUACUUUAUGAUUGAGAAUCACAGUACGCUUAAUGUCUUCUGAUAAUUGCAUUGUUUCCUUUAUGCUCUCGCACUUUAUUUACAUUUAUAAUGCAUGAUAUAUAUAUAUACUCGUUAUUACCAUGUUGCUUCUUUUAUAAUAACCUAUAAUUUGUAUGAUAGUGAGUAUCAGUAAGCAAGUAGCUUAGUGCGUAGAAAUUUCUUUUUCCUUGCACAGAUCGUAGAUAGUUGAACAGUUGAAGAGGGAUGGAUCUAUAGUCAGACAAUCAAAGUCACUUUGGAGUACUAGUAGUUCUACAUAUAUAUUGUUAAUGCAGCUUGCAAAUGGAAUAUAUAUAUAUUAUCAUCCUUUUCUUCAUGAAGGUAACUCAUAUUUGAGUAUCCUACAUUGUUUUAAAUUAUUAAAAGUAUUUUCAAUUUUUAAUUAAUUCACAGUUUUUGAGGUAUAUAGUAAAAUAGGGAAGAUUCCAUCAGUUUCUCCCUUUUAUGCAAAUAAAAUGUUACUUUUUAAUUUAGUAGUCUAAUAUUAAAUAAAAUAAAGUUAUUUUCAAACGAUUAUGAAAUAAUUUAGUGUGUGGUAUUUCCGACUCGAUUAAAAUAUUAAUCGAAUAGGGGAUGUUACAAAACCUCUUUACCCUUACCCUCUUUUUCGCUUCCAUAAUCUAAACUUUCCUCACCUCAUUCAAACAUGAUAUUAGGAGUGCGGGUGAAAAAAAAUUAAAUUUUCUCAUAAUAGAAUCCACUCAAAAAGGAUAUUUUUUUAGUUUUAUCAUUAUAUGUUUUAGUAUUUUUUUUAAGUGUAUUCAAAAUAAAUUAUUCUUUAUCUAGAGCCUAGGAGUCUAUUUAUAAAUUCAUUAUUUAGGAUUUUUGUUUUGUUAUUUUUAUAAUUUCAACGUUUAUAUAAUUCAUUAUAAGAGAAUUUUUCUAUUGUAAAUGAAGAUAUUUUUUUAUAUUAUUUUAAAAAAUAAUUGAUAAACUAAAUAGAUAUGUAAAAAAUAUAUAUUGUUUCUUUUCCUUUAUUUUCACAUGUAUAAAAAAAUUUGGUGACAUCACUCCACCUAUUUCAUAAAGCAUUGGACUGGUUUAACAACAGCUAUCUAAUACUUAGGAAAUCAUUGUAGGCCUUAAAAUAACUAUUUUAUCCGGAAAUACACAUAUCCAUAUUUUUCCAUUCUAUUUAUCUAGAUAUAAUCUAAGUGAGUUCAAGUAUCAAAUGAGCAUAUUUGCCAAAAACAAAUAUGAUUACUUCCAAAAGUUAUUUCAUUCAUUCUCUCUCUAUGUUAUUUACGGAACUAUAUUCAACGGAACUAUAUUCUUUUUGGAUUAUAAUGGAUGAUUAUUUUUCAAUUUCAUCUCUACUAUAAAAUGAAUAUAAAGAGUUUCUUCUUAUCUAUUUUUUCGUUAAUGAAAUGAUUAAAUAAAUACAUAAAAUAAUAAAUUAAAUUGUGAAAUUCUUUGCGAGUUCACUUCAUGUAUUUACUUAAUCUACUAACUAAAAUUUUAUUUUACAAAAUAUACAAGAUAUUAGCUACUGUUUCAAAUUUAUUAAUUUAAUAUGCAAACUCUAAAUAGUGAACAGGGAAGGAGAAAUAAUAUUUUCCGCUAUAUGAAUGAAAAAUGACAAAUCCAAUAAAAGAAUGAAAGAAUAAUACAUGUUUUAAGUACAACUGAUGAAAUCCCAGCGUCGUAGGCCUAAGAUAAAUUGCAUUCAGGAGGGAAGCCUUGCGGAAAUCUGUUGGCAUCAGUGCAAUAGUUGUAUAUCAUGUAGUUGUUCCUCACCCAUUGCAGCCUUUCUUGACUCGUUGAAUCAAGCUCUUCUGACAGCCAUGAAUUUGUCAUGGAGUUUGAAGUCCCACAGGAAGAUACCCAAUUAGACCAAGCACACGCAUUUGCACUGAAGUUUCUAUAGGAGGCAGUGAAUGGAGCCUGACUCCAAUCUGUCUUCACUAGACCACCUCUUGUAGCCCAAUCAUCAGCAUUCCAUAGACUAGAGUAAAUUCUCAUUGGCUGAUUCUUUGGAUAUGGAACUCCCAUUGAUUCCAAGUUCUUGAACUCUCUAAUUGGGGUGCCAUCUACAGAGAAGAUGAUCCUCUGGGGAUUCCAUAGAAUGGUAUAUGUGUGAAAAUCUGCAGUUGGGUCAAACCACAGAUAGAAUUGCUGCUCUCUGUUGCCUUUGCCUUGGCUAAAUACAUUAGUGUGGAGGAUGUAAGGAUCGCCGCUCAAAUUCCCCAAGAACUCAAAAUCAAUCUCAUCCCAAGUGGACCCAGUUGAUUUUAACUGCAGAUUCAAUUUCAAAAUCCACAAUGUUAGUAC
Molecule: long non-coding RNA, 47247 nt
Filed under: Manihot esculenta (cassava)
Lineage: Eukaryota; Viridiplantae; Streptophyta; Magnoliopsida; Malpighiales; Euphorbiaceae
Description: long non-coding RNA (MESC_LNC008511)
Rfam family: tRNA (bases 36380-36451)
Source: RNAcentral